This 57295-nucleotide long non-coding RNA is filed under the name Hordeum vulgare. Its description in RNAcentral is "long non-coding RNA (HVUL_LNC019494)". Lineage: Eukaryota; Viridiplantae; Streptophyta; Magnoliopsida; Poales; Poaceae. The record is from RNAcentral.
AUCGAUCACGGCCAACUUUCUCCAUCGGUUGCUCACUGUAUAAAAGCAUCGAGCAGCCUAAUCUCUCGUUCUCAUCUUGCACCGUCACACACACACACGCACACACACCGAGAUACAAAUGCAGCUGCCGGCCGGCCGGCGUGCCAUGGCCAUGUGAUCAAGCAUGCUUGCGGCGGCGCCGGUGCAUUCGCCGGGAUGGAUCUGAGGCGGUGGCCGAUCGUUCUGCCCCGCGGUACCGCCGGGGCAAAUCCGAGACGACACUCUGCAUGCCGUCGGGUCCUGCAGAUUCAGGCAUGCACGCAGAUGCAGGAGCUAGCAGGUGCAUGCAUGGUUGCUGCUCCAGCUAGCUGAUUUUUUCAAUCCCCUACAGGGCAAUUUCGAACCUUUGGCAAUUCUCUUGGACAUCAAUACAAGUAGUUUCAUUCAUGGCCGGUUGGAUCGACUAGCUAGUUAUUAGGUUAUACGUACUACACAUGAGGAUUAACUGGUGUAUGGAAUAAAAAUACUGUGAGUUGUCUGUGAACGGUUGCCCUGAGCAGCGUGGGCUGCGGACAGCUGGACAGCUGGGUUGUGUGGCGUUGUUGUUCGAGGAGAGCGGUGGUAUGUCGGGGCGGUGGUCCCAGAAGACUAUGUCGGUUGAUUGUGCUGGGCGCGAUGGAGCGGUGGAUGUCGGGACGGCGGCCCCGAGAAUCACUAGGGCGUCCAGACUUGAGUGGCAAUGAUGAUGGUGGGAGCAAUGUCGGUGGCGCGGUAAUGGUUGCGGUGGUCAGUUCUUCUUCGGCGUGUCCACGUUAUUGCCUCGAAUUGUUUGUUGCUGUGGAGUCGAAGCUGUGGUGCCGAGGCCCUGCGGUAUAUGAUGACUUGCUGCAGGUAGCCCGUUCAGCGAUCUUCCGUGGCGCCAGCCAUGCCUGGUUUUGGCCUUCAGACUUUUUCGUCAGAGUCGGAGUUGCGUUGUCUGGGGUAGAUCGACGUGUCGUCGAUAUGGGGUGCUUUGGCAUGUGUACUUCAGUCUAUGGGAAUGGGUUUGGCCUUAACUGUCCCGGCUUUCGCCUUGUUUUCGUAAUUAAUGUCAGCCGGCGACAGCAACGUUGGACUGAAUUCUGCUGGAGAGAGAGGUGUUUUGCGUUGCGAAAACUUGCAACUUUUCUUGCUGUUCUUCAUUGGUAUAUAAGCUACUGAAUACAGAAGGGAAAACGGGGAUCGAUCCGAGCUUUGCGGCGUGCCAUCCCACGCCCGCUCGCCUCUCCCACGAUGGCGCCAUGCUCGCAUGUAAUCUCGCCAUCCCACGAUGCGCGCACGGCGGAGCUACUGGCCCGUCUAACUAAGCGGGCAAGCUAACUAACCAGCUAACUAACCUAGCUACAACUGCGGAUCAGCCGCACAAACAAGCUCGUGCAGCUGCCGGUUUAUUCUGACUGAAGUUUGACCUGACGACUAGAACGGGUGCAGGUUUACAGAGACAACAAAUCCCCCCUUAAACCUGACGCCCUGAUGAAAACUCCAUGACUCCAAGCUUGAGCCUCAUCUCCACGAAUCUUGUGCGGCCCAAUGCCUUGGUAAGAACGUCGGCGAGCUGGCCGUUGGUUCCGAUGUGCUCAACGUCCACCUUGCCUUCACCCACCUUCACGCGAAUAUAGUGAUAGCGAGUGUCGAUGUGUUUGCUCCGCUCGUGAUGAACUGGGUUCUUGCAGAGCUCGAUUGCAGACAUGUUGUCUAUCCGCAGCUUCACCGUUGUCGGGGGUUUGCCGAUCAGCUCGCAGAGGAGUUGGCUCAGCCAUACCCCCUGACACGCUGCUGUUGCCGCUGCGAUGUACUCCGCCUCGCAAGACGAGAGCGCGACGACCUUCUGCUUCUGCGACGUCCAUGUGAUGAUGCCUGAAUUGAGGAAGAAGACAUACCCAGUUGUGCUCUUUCGGUCGUCGAGGUCACCAGCGUGAUCGCUGUCACUGAACCCUGUCAGAACAGGAUCCGGUGUCCUCCCCUUCAGGUAGCAGCACCCGAAGCUUGUCGUUCCACUGACGUAGUGCAGAAGAUGCUUCACGGCCGCCCAGUGUACCAUUGUGGGAGUCUCCAUGUACCUGCUCACCAUCCCAACGGCGUGAGUGAUGUCGGGCCUGGUGUUGCAGAGGUACCGGAGACUCCCGACGAUGCUCCGGUAGCGCGUGGUGUCAACAGCAUCAGCAGGGUUCCCUUUGCACAGCUUCGGUCGUGCUUCCAUCGGCGUGUGGCAAGGGUUGCAGCCAGCCAUGCCGGCUGCCUCCAGGAUCUUCACGCCAUAAGAACUUUGGCAGAUGGUGAUCUCACCUCCCUCUUGCUUCACUUCCAGCCCGAGGUAGUAGCUCAGCAGGCCGAGAUCGCUCACGUCGAACAGGUGGUGCAUUUGUUCCUUGAACGCUGCGAUCUCCUACUCGCAGGUGCCCGUGAUGAUCAGGUCGUCGACGUAGACGCCGACGAUGAGCAUCGCCUUGCCGUUGCUUCUCUUGUACACAUCGUGUUCGAGUGGGCUCCGCUCGAAACCAAGCGAGACGAGGGAUUCGUCCAGCUUUGCAUUCCAUGCCCGUGGUGCCUGACGAAGCCCAUAGAGUGCCUUUCGCAGCCGCAGUACCUUGUUCUCGUUGCCGACGCUGACGUACCCUGGUGGCUGGUGCACGUAGACCUCCUCCAUGAGGUCGUCGUUGAGGAACGCGGACUUCACGUCCAUAUGAUACACCCGCCACUCACGGUGGGCAGCCACCGCGAGCAGCAGCCGCACGGUCUCCAUCCUUGCCACCGGCGCAAAAACCUCGUCGAAGUCUACCCCCUGUCGUUGGACAUAGCCUUUGGCGACGAGGCGCGCCUUGUGCUUGAUCACGUUGUCGUCUGGGUCCUUCUUGACCUUGAAGACCCAUUUGAGGCCUAUCGCGCGGUGACCGCGCGGGAGUGUGGCAAACUCCCACGUGUCGUUGCCGCGAAUAGACCCCAGCUCGUCGUCCAUGGCCUUGCUCCAGCGCUCCUCUGAGAGCGCUGCGUCCACGCUAACAGGCUCCUCUGCAGCGGCGAGACACAGCUCGCUUAGAUCGUAUGCAUCCGCCUCCGCUGCCAACACGAAGUCAUCAUACAGCUUGUUAGGCUGUACAAUGCCAUCACGUGCCCGCAUGAGCAUGGGGUGCAGCGGGGGCGGAGCAGUAGGAGCCGUCGCUGGGCGUGGUGCCGGAGUGUCUGUCGCUCCCGCGAUGGUGUCGGCGCUCGGCGGUGGCGAGGAGCGUCCCAUUGACGCGCCAUCGUCAGCGAAGGUGUUCCGUGUUGGUGCGGGCGUAGCUGGUUCAGGAGCCGAGAUCUCACCGCUCGUGCCCGAACCUACAGGGAAGGUGCUCGUGACUGGGUAGGAGAAGAGCUCGACGCAGAACAGGGCAGCCUCCUGUGCCCCCGCCAUCUCCUCCCAGUCCCAGCGCGUUCCUUCAUCGAAGACGGCAUCGCGUGUGACGUGCACGCGAUUUCCGACGGGGUCGAAGACGCGGUACGCCGCCGUCCCGGGCUCGUAGCCGAAGAACACCAUGGGUUUGCUCCUGUCCUCAAGCUUCGACAGGUGCGGCUUCGUUGUCUUGACAUGCACUACAACCCGAAUACACGCAGGUAGCUUACGUCGGGUUUAUAGCCGUGCCAUACCUCAAACGGCGUCCUACCGNNNNNNNNNNNNNNNNNNNNNNNNNNNNNNNNNNNNNNNNNNNNNNNNNNNNNNNNNNNNNNNNNNNNNNNNNNNNNNNNNNNNNNNNNNNNNNNNNNNNNNNNNNNNNNNNNNNNNNNNNNNNNNNNNNNNNNNNNNNNNNNNNNNNNNNNNNNNNNNNNNNNNNNNNNNNNNNNNNNNNNNNNNNNNCAGGUAGAUGGCGGUGGAGACCGCCUCCCCCCAGAAUCUGGCCGGCACCGCCAUGGCUUUCAUCAUGCUUCAUGCGGUGGCGAUGAUCGUCUGGUUGCGGCGCUCCACAACGCCGUUCUGUCGAGGUGAGUACGGCGCCGUGAGCUGCCGUCCCACGCCCUCGUCUGCGCAGUACGCCGCGAACGUAACCACCGUGAACUCUCCUCCUCGAUCCGUGCGGAGCAGGCGCAGUUUGCGCCCUGUUUCCACGUCUGUGCCGGCCUUGAACUGCUUGAUGGACGUCGCCGCCUGGUCUUUCAUCGUCAGAAGCGUGAGCCACAUAUAGCGGCUCAGAUCAUCGACCAGCAAAAGGAAGUAGCGGCGUCCUCCUGGCGUCUCUGGCAUGAUCGGCCCGCAUAGGUCGCCAUGCACCAGGUCGAGCUUCUUCGCCUGCUGUGGGAAAGACGCACAGCGUUGCUUCCCAGCGAGGCAGCCGUCGCAGAGCUGCCCGGCGUGGUCGAUCGUGGGCAGCCCUCGCACCAUGUUCCCCCGCGUGAGCUUCUGGAGUGCGUCAAAGUUGAGGUGGCCGUAACGCUCGUGCCACCUCCAGGAUUCGUCACCGCGAACUGCUGCAAGGCAGAACGGCUUGGCGAUGACGAGCAUGACGAUGUACAGCCGAUUGUGCGCCCUGGGCACCGUGGCGAGGAGGCGGUCGCGCCGAUCACGGAGCUUCAGAUACCCGCCGCGGAUCGUGAUCUUGCAACCGCUUUCCUCGAGCUGCCCGAGACUGAUGAUGCUGCUCCGAAGGCGAAUGGAUGUGGUAGACGUCGGCGAGGGCGACGUGAUCACCGUUGGCGCAGGCGAAAAGCACAGUCCCGCGCCCCUUUAUCUCCACCAGCGAUCCGUCCCCGAACUUCACCGUGCCCGUGACGGUGGUGUCCAGGUCCGAGAAGGCAGAGAGGUGCCCCGUCAUGUGGUUGCUCGCCCCUGUGUCGAGGAACCAGGCGUCGUCACGGCGCGGGUCAUUGGCGAGGAGGGCGUGCUCGACCGCCUGCUCAGCAUGCAUGCCGCCCCCGUCCGUUUGCGUCGUUGGCGCAUUCACUUACGCCAUCAUCAAUGAUGGUCCGUCGUCGUCGCUGAUGUUGCAGGUGCGGAUGAGGAGGGCAGCCUUCUCCUCUUCGCCGGCCUGGACGAGGUGUGCUUGUGGUCGUGGCUGCUGCUGUUGUUGCCCUUUGCGUUCUCGCCGUGGCUCCUUGCAGUCUCGUGCGAUGUGCCCUGCAAAUUUGUUGCAGUUGUAGCACUUGACCUGCGACAUAUCGCGGUCAGAGCUACCUUGUCGUUCUGCUGCUUGCCUCGACCCUUCCUGCCGCUUCCGCCGUCGGAGUUGGAGCCCUGCUCCUUCAUCCUUUUUCCGCGUGCGAUCCAUUCCUCCUCCGUGAGGAGAAGCUGGGAUCCCAUUCCCUCCGAUGAGCCGCCCCCGUAACGCUUUUCAGCGGAGGUGAGACGGCCGAUCAGCUCCUCCACAGACAGCUCCUCGAGGUCGAGCAGCGUUUCGAUCGAGCAGGCUAUGUGUGAGUAUUUAGGGGGGACUGCAUUGAGGAUUUUUUCGAUGAUUUUUACCUCCUCAACUUUGUCCCCCAGGGACUGCAGAUUGUUGGCGACGUUCGUGGCGCGGAUGGCGAAGCUGUCGAGCGUCUCGCCGUCUUUGAACGCAAGCGCUUCGAACUCCCUGCGGAGGCGUUGUGCCGUCGCAUUUCGCGCGCGGUGCACCCCCAUCUUCAUCAGUUUGACAGCCUCCCACGCCUCAGCGGAGGUGGUCUUGGAGGCGAGGAUAGGCACCAGCUUCGGUGGCACUGCACGGAUCAGUGCCGACAGGGCCGCCAUAUCCUCGCGAUCUCCCGGCUCUCCCAUGCCAGACAUGGCCUCCCAGAGACCUUGCGCGCGCAGGUUGAUUUUCAUCACCUGCGCCCACUCGAUGUAGUUUGUCGACGUCAGUGUGGGGUAGACGAUGUGGGAGCUUGCGCCGGCGUUGCGGAUCGCGCGCUCGUGGACGACGACCUCGUUGCCGCCCCUGCGAAUCACGCUCCUGCCGCGUGGUCGCGCUGCCGACAGUGGUGACCGCGACAUCGUUGGCGACUUGCGCCCCCUUGCUCCACUGCCUCUCCGUCCUUGUUGCCGCCAGCCAUGGCGCCCUCGAACACUAGCUCUGAUGCCACUUGUCUACCGGCGACAGCAACGUUGGACUNNNNNNNNNNNNNNNNNNNNNNNNNNNNNNNNNNNNNNNNNNNNNNNNNNNNNNNNNNNNNNNNNNNNNNNNNNNNNNNNNNNNNNNNNNNNNNNNNNNNAGAGACUUGCCGGUAACGAGAUUGAAAUAAGUAUGCGGAUACCGACGAUCAAAUCUCGGGCAAGUAACAUACCGAAGGACAAAGGGAAUGACAUACGGGAUUAUAUGAAUCCUUGACACUGAGGUUCAACCGAUAAGAUCUUUUGAGAAUAUGUAGGAUCCAAUAUGGGCAUCCAGGUCCCUCUAUUGGAUAUUGACCGAGGAGUGUCUCGGGUCAUGUCUACAUAGUUCUCGAACCCGCAGGGUCUGCACACACUUAAGGUUCGGUGAUGUUUCGGUAUAGUUGAGUUAUAGGUGUUGGUAACCGAAAGUUGUUCGGAGUCCCAGAUGAGAUCCUGGACGUCACGAGGAGCUCCGGAAUGGUCCGGAGGUAAAUAUUGAUAUAUAGGAAGUCCUGUUUUGGUCACCGAAAAAGUUUCGGGCUCAUCAGUAGUGUACCGGGAGUGCCGGGAGGGGUGCCGGGGAGCAUCGGGAGGGGUGUCACGGCCCAAGGGGUCUUAUGGGCUAUGGGAAGAGAUAAACGAGUCCCUAGUGGGCUGGAAUAAGUUCCCACUAAGGCCCAUAAGGUUUGAGAAGGAAAUACACAAGGUGGAAAGAGUUUCUAAGUGGGAAGGUGGAAUCCUACUCCAAGUAGGAUUGGAGUAGGACUCCUCCACCUCCAAUUUCGGCCAAACCUUGAGGGUUUGAGGCUGCCUCCUCCCCUCCCUCCCUCCUAUAUAUACUAGAGGUAUUGAGGGUUUUUGAGACACAACUUUGCCAUGUGCUACUCGACCCCACACCACGCAGUUUUUCCUCUAGAUCGUAUUUCUGCGGAGCUUAGGCGAAGCCCUGCCGGAGUAGAUCAUCACCACCACCGGCGCGCCUUCACGCUGCCGGAGAACUCUUCUACCUCUCCGCCCCUCUUGCUGGAUCAAGAAGGUGGAGAUCGUCAUCGAGCUGUACGUGUGCUGAACGCGGAGGUGCCGCCCGUUCGGCACUAGAUCGGAACGGAUCGUGAGACGGAUCGCAAGAUGGUUUGUGCGACGGAUCGCGAGACGAUUCGUGGGAUGGAUCGCGUGACGGUUCGUGGGACGGAUCGCGGGACGGUUCAUGGGACGGUUCGUGUGGCUGAUCAAGGGACGUGAAGACGUUCCACUACAUCAACCGCGUUUCUUAAGUGCUUCCUGCUGUGCGAUCUACAAGGGUACAUAGAUCCAAAUCUCCUCUCGUAUAUGGACAUCACCAUGAUAGGUCUUCGUGUGCGUAGGAAGUUUUUUUUCCCCAUGCAACGUUCUCCAACAAAAAGUUCUUUGAAAUGUGCAUCCAAUGGCAUACUUUAUAUGAAAUAUGACUCGCAUUUUCUUUAUAAAAUUAAUGAUCAAAGUUAGACAUAAAAAUAUGAAGUGACUUUGUCUUAGUAGGGAGAAGGACUACAAAACAUUGUCCAUAAUCAUAUGUAGGUGUGGCGUUACCUCACUUUUAUGAGAAGACCAUGCAAAGUUGUAAUGCAAAAGAAUAGAAAGUUUCAACCAUCUCAAUAGAUGGAGGAAACUAACCUAAAGUUGAUUUGGGGGCCCUACCGGGGCUGACCGAAUAUCCCCUAUGUUGCAACACAAUUAAAUACCACGCCUAGAAAGUUGUUCAAACUUUGUGUAAAUUCAAGUGUCCAACGAACGCCGCCGAACCGCUUUUUGAACACAACUUAAUCAACCCUUAAUCCAUAUUCACAAUACUCACGUUGUUACCUUCUACAUAUAAAUAGAUAGCCUCGAACUUUGAUUUAACUACCAAAAAUAAGUUAUAUACCACAAAAAUAUUGUCAUUGAACACCUCUUUCGAAUACGAAUCCAACAAUAUAUGUUUUGUGAACUACAAGUUAUAUAUAUUUUAGUUAAAACAACGGUCAAAAUUUAUCACACAAUACGAAGGGGUCAAUAAACCAGGAUGGGAGCAAUAUUCUACAAUUAUAUAAUAAUCAAACAUAGUAAAUCAUAUGUGUAGGUACCAUAUCAUUUUUGUGUGUGUGUGGGGGGGGGGGGAAUAUUCUCAUUUCUUAAGGUGGCCUUUCAGCUGAGGCCUAGUUUACAAGGAAUUCCGUCCCUCCAACAAACCAAACAGCCGUACAGGGGGUACUACGGCCAUACGCAGCCAUCUCAUGGCUCGUGAUGUUCUGCGCAUGAUUACAUUUUAAGAAGACAAUCUCUCGAGCAUGGCGUUCAGCUAGGCUUCUAGUCUCAUGAACUAUAGACCGGAGAGGCGAUCUCUCCAUCGUGGUUGCAUUGUGCAUCGCCACCGCCUCCGUGCUUUUCAUAUCCAUGAUGAUAGGCAUCAUGGUCCUGUGGAGAGCAAGAGCUAAACCUUCUCUGCAAGCUAGGAGCUCCGCUUCGAGGGCACUAUCACAUGUGUGAAUGUGCCUACAAGCGCUAAAGAUGAUAUCCCCUCUAUCGUCAUGGAGGACCAUGGCGCCGCAUGCCGCUCCUGUGGAUGCAACAAAGCUGCCGUCCGUGUUAAGUUUGGCCCAACCCGUUGUAGGGGGACCAACCGGGCCGCUCUAGGGUCAACCUGCGGGACGUCUUCUGCGGUGGGUUAGUACAAACCACCAGCUUCCCCUUCUCCAUGUUGGUUGUCGGGUGCUGCUUGAUACAUAGCAAGGAGUUGAUAUAGCUCUAUAGGAACCGGCGAGAAGACUCAGCCAGUGGUGGGGGCUUGUGAUGAGUAAUAUCAUGCCGCACAUGCCACACCCACCACAUGGUCAUCCGAACCAUCGGUCUUGACAUCUCUUCCAGGAGUUCGAGUAGUGUGAAGAGCCACUCCGGAACUGUGUUCCGAAUGGACUCCACCUUGGAUAUGUUCCAGUCCAGCGUCAUGAGCCUCCAUAGUUCCUUCGCAGGAGGGCACCCGCAGAGCUCGUGGAAGCCGUCCUCGCGUUCAACACCACAUAGGGGACAAACAUUAGUCACCUCAAGAUGUCAUGAAACUUUGUUAUCCCAAGUAGCAAGAGAAUUUGCAAGGACCCUCCAUGCAAACACACAUACCUUUGAGGGAGAAGGGCACCCCCAUAUGAUCUUCCAGAUGGCGCGACGACCAUCCGGUGCCCUGCUCGUGGCGGUGGCCAAUAGACGUUCGCCCUCGUCGAUUGUCAGGCGGCAUGCCGAUCGAACUGUGAAGAUGUUGUUCUUUUCUGGUGCCCAAACGAUGAUAUCCUCUGGGAUGCAUGGUGAAGUCUUGAUAGAAGUGAUGAUGACUACAUUCACCGGCAAGAAGUGUCGCCGCAGUAUGGCCGUACACCAGGGACCAUCAGCAUCUAGAAGCUCAGCCACCCAUCGUAUAAGGUAGGUCCCCUGCUUAGUGAUGGGAAGGCAGGAUGGUUGACGUGGUAGCCGCCGAUCAAGCCCCACACGGACGUCCUGGCCAUUGCCGACCCACAAAAUGAUGCCCUUUUUCAGGAGCUCAAGGCCAUGUUGGAGAGCCUGGCAGGUCGAAGAGGCGUUCCGUUAGAACACUAUGUCCUCAAAGCAGCUGUCAUGGUAGUAUCAAGCCUUUAAUACAAUGCACAAAGACUGGUAGGUUUAGUAAGAAGGCACCAGGCCUGUCUCGCGAGGAGGGCCUCAUUAAAGAGGCAAAAGUCUGUGAACCCCAUGCCCCUGUUUCAUUUCUGAGCUAAUAUUUGGCCAAGCCAGCCAAUGUGUCUUCCUUUUCCCCUCCGAGGCACCCCACUAGAAGUUGUGAACCAUCCUAUUCAGGUCAUCGCACACAAACAUAGGGAGCUUGAAAAUGCCCAUGAUAUAAGUUGGAAUAGCAUGAGCAACUGCUUUGACAUAGUUUCCUUGCCAGCCAAGGAUAGGGUUUCCCCCAAGCAAUAAUCCUCUUGAGUAACCGAGAUUGUAGAUUUUGGAAUUUACCUCUCAUCAUGCGUCCUUUGGGCGAUCGGAGCCCAAGAUACUUCUCCUCCAAAGUGACAGUGACAAUGUUCGGACUUGUUCGCACCUCAUCUUGCUUGCCCAAGUCACAUGCCGAACCAAACAUAGCACUACAUUUGGCGGGGUUGAUGAAUUGUCCCGUGGCCUUAGCGUAUGUACUCAACACCUCCUUGACCUUGAGGGCUUCUUCCUCCUUGACCUUAAAGAAUAGUAGUGUAUCAUCGGAAAACAUUAGAUGCGACACACCUCGAGCUCUGCGGCACACUUUUAGCGGUGUGAGCUCGCCUUUUUCCUUGCUUUCUUUCAGUAGAGCGGAUAGCCUGUCGGCCACAAACAGAAAUAAGAACGGGGAUAGAGGAUCACCUUGAUGUAGCCCUCUCGACGGUGCGAAUAAUUCCAUUAAAUUUCACUGUAUAUCUCACCGAGGUGACACAAGCCAUAAUCCAGUCCGCCCAACGGUGAGUGAAACACAUCUUUAGCAUCAUUCGCUCCAAGAAGACCGAGUCCACCCUAUCAUAUGCUUUGGAUAGGUCCAGCUUGUACGCACAAAAUCACUUUCUUGGGUCCUUUUCGUGUUGAAUAGGGUGGAAGCACUCAAAAGCAAUCAGUGCAUUAUCAAUGAUCAUACCGCGAGGAACAAAAGCGCUCUGCUCCGGUGAAAUUAUGUCAUCCAGUAUAGGACUCACACACUUCACCAUACAUUUAGCCGCCACGUUGUAUAUGUCAUCACGUAGGCUGAUAGGGCGAAACUUCGCGAGUCGCUUGAGAUUAUCCACCUUUGGGAUGAGAACAAUAAAGGUGUUGUUCAUCCCCUCACGCAUAAUUCAUGUCCAAAAGAAUUAUUUAACCCCGUUUGUUACCAGGACUUUCAUGACAUCGCAAUUACACUGGAAGAAAAUGGCAUGGAAUCCAUGAGGGCCUGACACCUUUAGUGGCCCAAUGUAAAAUAGAGCAUCGACAAAUUCCUUAUCAGAGAAAUAUGGACAUAAACCAUCAUUCAUGUGGUCAGACACCUCGUGGUUAAUAAGAUUGAUUACUGGAUUCGCAUCGAGGGAAGGGUGAGCAACAAAGAUAUUAGCAAAGUAUGUUGUAGCCAUGCCCGUCAUGGAAUCAUGGUCCUGGUAUACAGCGCCAUCAUCAUAAACAAGGACUUUUAUGUGGUUUUUGUAUACCCUCCACACACCUUUCGAUGGAAGAACUUGGUAUUGCGGCCGCCUUCCCUUAACCAAGUGAUACGUGAUCGCUGCAUCCACAACAUCUGCUCUCUAUAUAUCAGUUCAUUCAUUCUAUCGGUCUCUUCUCAUAUCUCUUUCCUAUCUAUAUUCAUAGAAAUAAGCUCCUUGAGGCGAGAGCGAGAUUUGUUAAUAUCCUUAAUAACAUUACCAAAUUUUUUGUGGCUCCAUGCCCGCAACUCCUUGAUCACAUCCCCAAGACUAGAGGCAACAUCACCUAGGUGUAACAACCUACCCAGUUCAAUCCGGUCACUCAUUAUUACCUCACGGAGGGAGGAGUCCCGUUCCCAUAUGACCUCGUAUUGACGACAUCGUUUUUCUUCGAGAUGGCGUGGCUCCUCGGACGCACACUUGGAAGGAUGGCCAGGUGGUCGGAUGUCGGGGCCACCACUUGCUCCACCCUCGCAUGGGUGAACACGUCCUUUCAAGCGUUGUCAGCCACCGCCCGGUUGAGGCGAACCUUGACAUUGGUGCGGCCUCCACGACGAUUGUCAAAUGUAUAGGGGAGGCCUGCAAAUCCAAGAUCUCCCAGCCCAUAGACUUCAAGAACAUCUCGGAAAUCAAUCAUCUAACCUGUAGAGCGUGGUGUGUUGGAGAAGUGAUCAAAACUCCACAUCGCCUCGUUGAAGUCUCCCACUACCACCCAUGGCAUACAAGCCUGUUAAUGGAGAUUUCGUAGGAGAGCCCACAAGUGAGGAUGAUCCUCCAACGGAGGUUCGCCAUAGACGUAGGUAAGCCUCCACGGGGGCUCACCCAUCACUCCAAUAACGUAUGUAUCAAUAUAUUGUUCAUUUAUUUAUUUUACAUCUAGAAUGACUAACUCAACCAAGUACAGGGCAAGAACACCAAUACGACCAUUACAAUCAAAGACAUCAAAACCUCUCACACCUAAAUGAGCACACAAAUGCUUCAUUUUACUUUUUAGAUGCCUAGUUUCACAAAGAAAAAGAUACUAGGGGAAUGAGGUUGGGCUAAGCUCACAAGAUCGGGAGUUGUUUGAGGGUUCCUUCCCCCUCGGCAAUUCCAGCUUAGGAUAUUCAUUGCCCCUGACGGGGCUUCGUCGGCCCUGUCAAGCUUGUCGUCGGCCCGUGGGCCAACUGCCUCGUGUGUGUAAGACUUGUCCUCCAUGGCCUGGUCCAACAUCCCAUCUCCAAUUGUGUUCUUCUGCCAGCCCAGCAAUACGGGAUUCCUGCAUUUCCUUAGAGUGCCUGAAAUCACAGAAUCAUUAGGGUUUGUUGUGUUGAAGUAAACCAAUAGUGUUUGUCCACCACUGUCUCCUUCGGUACCAGCAACUUGGUUCUCUGCUGCUACAUGCUUUCCAAGGGUUGACACCUCCUCUACUAGGUAUGCGUCCUCCAUAUUGAUAUCUCGGGAUAGGUUACGUAUGGCAGGGAUCAUAUCUGAACUUCGAGGGAGUGAGUCCUGAGCUAUCUGCACGCCCACCUGAAGUUGUGUUGACAUCUGGACCUGGGGAGCAUUGCCGCCAGCUCCGGUAGUGGCAGUAUCUGCAAUGGUCCGAGGCAUCGCCUGCAUCUUUGCGGCAAGCAUCUUAUCAACGGCUAGGUUUUCAGUGCUGUGAUCAGGUUUCUCCUUUGGGCACUGCAACGAGCCCCUUUCUGACAUGUGCAUCCCUCUUCCGUCUCUUAGAUGGCCUGUAGAGCCUGUGCUUUCCUAGGAGAAAUCAAUACCCAUGUAGGUUGUCAGGUUAGCCUUGGCUUUAACAAUUCGAGUCUAUCUGCCGAAUCUCCAUGGCUAUGUGCAAGAGAGUUUGCCCCUGAAUUUGCCAAAUGGAGUGCCGCCUCUACCCCUUCUAUCACAUGAUUUCUGUUGGUGCCCGACAUAUCCGCAUGAGUAGCAAAUAUUUGACAGCUUUUUAUACUGGAUCUGGAACUCCAACUUCUUUCUCUACUCCUUCAACUUGACAAACAUAGCGACUAUAGUAUCGAGCGGGUGGUAGAAUGGAAUUACCACUCGAACACAGACAUAGUUGCUCAUAUCCCCAUCUAGCUUAGUUUGCGGGAUAGUACCCAGGUGGACACACAACUCACGAACCACGGCGUCGGACCUCCAAUUCAUGGGCACAUCCAGGAUACACACCCAAAUUCUCGUUGUGUUCAGAGUGUUGUCAGAAACUUUCCUCAUACCAUCGUACGCCUCAAUCAGCGGUGGAUCAUGCUCAUACUGCCAUGGCUCUCCACCGAGCACACGAGCCAUGUCUGACCCACAACCAAAGUGUACCAAAUACUUGUUGUCUCCCUGGUAAGCAUAGUCAAAGUCCCCCUUCAACCUCCAUCCACCGACGAUGUUCUCGAACAGAGUAAAAGGGGACGGUCGCACCAGGGAGUACACAAGCAUGAUCACAGUCCCGCGUUGACCUCAAGGUCCACCUCAACCAGCCCUGAGUCGCCCUAAAGGUCCUCCCUGAAGGAGGUUUCCUCGGGUACUUCUCUGUGCUUGUCCUUGCUUUCAUGCUCAGCCAGCGACGAUCAUGUCGUCCCUGCCGUACCUGCCAUUUUGAGAUGGUCCAAGACCACCAGCGUCUGCAUCCUCGGAUUGAUACGUGUGGCCACCUUAGGUCCCAUGGAGGUAGGCUACAGGCGAGCAUUAUCCACACAGGGAGCCCUGUAUGCACCCGCACCCACCACCAAGUUCACGUUGGAAGCCACCGACGACUUGCCCGAGUUCUGUGAGGUCGUCGACAUGCUGGCCCGUAACAGAUUAGUUUGGAGCGUAGGCUCUCUCUUGGGUGAAUUGCAAUGUACUCUCGCUGCCUCACCCGAACACUACAUGGGCUUUUGUAACCCAGCGAGGGAGAUUUCUUGCGUGAGGGGUUAGGGCACCUGGAGUCCCCCUCCCCUACGACAUGAAGACGGGCCAAAACGAGCCAUGCAAACCGAUUGGCGGAUGAGGCUGCAGUAGCUCCGAUGUCCUGCAUGGGAGUGAGGGUGGAGGGCUUGCCACACGUGGUCGGCAUGAUGACCGGCGGCGGUGGCGACGUGGCUUUCGCUAGAACGCCAAGGGAACGGAACCCUAAGCGCCAGAUGAUUUUGGUUUGACAUAACCAUUGUCUCUAAGGGCAUUAGUUACUGUAUCAUUGAUAUAAAUAUUCAUGUUCCACACAACCAAAUGUCAUUAAAACCUAGUGUGAAACAUAACAUCGUCGGACAAAGUCGGUCAACCUAGGAGCCAUGGUGGAUUAGGCAUUCUGGACAUUUCAACCCAUAAUCAAGCCCUUCUAAUGAAAUUCCUUCAUAAAUUUCUCAACAAAGAUAAGAUAGCUUGGGUCAAGAUCAUUUGGGAAGCCAACUACUCUAAAGCAACUCAUGGAGAUAGAAUUAUAGGCUCUUUCUCGUUGAAAGAUGUCCUCAAACUGAUGCAAAACUUCAAGCAGAUCACGCAUUGCAAAGCUGGAAAAGGUAACAGUAUUCUAUUAUGGUAUGAUACUUGGCAUAACAUUUGAAUGAGCCAAAAGUAACAUGAGAUAUUCACCCUUUCCAUUGGAAAGGAUAUCACAUUUCAGCAUAUGAUGGAACAAGCACUUGAGGAACACUUUCAUAGGUCACUAUCCAGCCAAGCCUUUUCCCAAUACUUGCAACUUCAAACUAAGCUCAAUAACAGACAACCUCAAAACUAGCAUGAUGCUUGGUACUUGCAAGGAAAAUCACCUCACUUCUCCUCCAUGAAAGUGUACAAUACCAUCAGUGGACCAACUUUCAAACUUCUGUGAUCUUGUUGUGUCAAACUUAGGGAUACAAUCUUUUGGCUUCUACUUCAUGACAUAGUCAAUACUAGAAAUUUGUUGAAGAGAAAGAACAUGCAUCUCCAUUCCUAUAACUGUGUAUUAUGCUCUGCCAAUGUGGAAGAAACCAUGGGACUACCCAUUUGCAUUGAAUUGUUGAUACCACCCUUAUUUCCCUAAUAAAAAUAAAGGGACAUUAAGUUAUCACGAGAUAUGCCUGAUGACUCAACUUAUUCCAAUUGAUAUUCCAUUAGACAUCAUUUUGAUGAGUUGCUGGACUAUCUGGUCAGUCGAAAAUGAUAAGAUUUUUCCCACCACCAUGGUUGGGUCUACUAUCUUAAAGAAGGACUAGCCGCAACAGAGAUCAGAGAAAAUCCAUCUAAAGCGCACAAGAUCAAGUCUUGGACUGAGCAAUAGAUUCCUUAAAUAUCAUCAUGUUUACAAUUUUUUUUUGAAAGGAGGCAAAAGACUUGACUCAUUCUCCAAUUAAGAGGGAAAAUGACUUUAAUGUUUUUGUUACAACACCCAUUGUGUUACAACACCUACAAAAGGCCUACUCUCGCGACAUGAUGGAUUCCAAUUUCUUUGCACCAGAAGUGACCCAAUUUUGAGCCUCGAUCUUGAUGUUAGCUAGUAUAACCGUCCGCCGGGCACUCUUGUGUUUGAAUAUGCGAGCAUUCCGUUCAUUCUAGAUUGUCCUAGAAGUGAGCAUGGAGAGGGUAGUCAUGGCCUUCCUUUUCGGUAUGGUAGAAUCGGAGAACACGAUCCACCACUCUUCAGUUAACCGUUACGAAACUAGCAUUGGCUGAAUGCAACUUUAUGUAAUUUUUGUAUCCCUUUGUACAUAUUUAUUUAUGGGAUUUUAUUCUUUUGCCCCUGGUUCCUUAGUUGUACUCAUUUUCCCCAUUCAUUAACUCUUUCCUCACUUUUCCCCAUGUCUUGGGUUUUUUUGCAUUCAUAUUUUCUUCACUUUCCCCCCAAAAAAAGUUGCUCAAAAAGGUUGCAAAAUGAGUGAAUUGGGACAAGUGAAUACAACUAAGGAACCAGGGGCAUAAGAAUAAAAAUUCCUUUAUUUAUUGUGUAAAACUACCGUAGAACUAUUGUCUUUGGCUCAAAAAAUACUGCAAAACAUUUCUACAAUAACGUUUGGGUAUCAUCUAAUUCUUACUUAUUGUUUAUUGUCGAUUGCACGCGGGGGCUAGACCUUUGUGGUGAGGCAGAUUGUGUUUUGAACAACACCAUUAAUCUUCAGGAGAUUGGUCUAGCAAUUAGUAAGACACACCAUUUAGUGUGUGGUAUAGUUGGGUCGUUAUGGUCGAUUUGUACCGAAAUGGAGCAAGUUCCUCGCAAAGAAAGAUCGGGUCACCCUUACCAAAUUCCUAUUUGUCUAACUACACGCUUUGAUGUUAGGGGACGUUUUUGUUUCUAGCAUACGUCCUUGGAAACUUUUUCAUUAGAUAAAAAAUUUAGUUGGGCCUAAUUUUUACAUUUUACUAAUUUCAUUGGUGUUAGCGCACAAUUGUACUGGAACAUCUCAUUAGGUAGAGAAUAAGUUAGCACCUGAUUUUCUUCUGUUAUAGAUAUUUCUUGAAAGUUAGUGCACAAAUUGUCGCGUCCUUGAUUGUUACUCCUAGGUUCCAAAUUAGCUGAACCAGGGAAGCUUAAUUUGGAACGAAGGAUUUGUUUUACAAGGAAAUACUCUUCCAUCAAGCUCUAUUUUCCAUGAUUGUGCCGAUUCAAUAAAUGUAGCUACCAUUGAGGCUAUUCUUUUAGCUAGGUUUCACUUAUUCAUGGGUAUUAGAUGACAUUUUCCAAGGCAUCGGCCAUUUUUCGUUGGAUUUAGAUUAUGUGCAGACUACUAAUCCUAUAUAUCUAAAUAGUUGAUCAACACUAUAUUUAUCUUAACACGCACAUAUGCCUCAUUACACAUGCCACACUCAAAGGUCCACGUGAACAUGUACGAGAAAAAUUGUUCCACUAGUUUAUUCCUACUAUUUAUAUUUAUCUUAAUAUGCACAUAGUCUACCACACCACACAUGUCACGUCAUUAAAGACUCACCACAACAUGCAUGGAUUUUUACCAUUAUAUUGCACUACUUAUAUUCAAUAAAUUAUAACAUAUAAUAUGUAGUUUUACUUUUAGUUCAUAUAUUACUAAUACUAAUACAUAUGUUUCUUACAAUUCAAAUUUAUUAAAAUAUAUUAGACCCAAUUUUUACCACAACACACGGGGUAUCAUAUAGUUUUCCAUGUUCUUAGAGAUUUAGCAUUUUUAGCACAUGUUUUAUAUUGUUGGGCAUCUAGAUGGUUAUUUCGUUUCAACAUAAUUUUCUUAUUUUCUACCAAUUUCAUGAGUUUUAUCACUCAUUCUUAUGGCCUCCUCCCUGCUACUCCUAUGGUUGUAAGUAACAUCAGUACCUACUCAUUGUAGCUUAGGUCUAUGAGUGUGGUAGAUUAGAGUAGAUCUGCACGUAGUAUGGUAGGUUGUGCACGUAUUGCUUCAUUAUGUUGUGUGAGGAGAUGGUAGAUCAGAUUGUAGUGGUACCAUUUUGGUAGUAUGGUAGGUUUUUCUUGUUGCCAGCGGUGAUGUUCAUUCUAUGGUGAUACAUGCACAUGUUUUCCGUGUCGUUUUAAUGCGACUAUGCUAGAUGUGGUAGUAUGUUGAGCUUGAUGUUUACUCCAUGUGUACUAUGGUAGAUGUCGUAGUGUGUUGAACUUCAUGAUCACUCCAUGCUAAUUUUCUAGAUGUGCUAGUGUGUUGACCUUGAUGAUCAAUCCAUGUGAACUAUGGUAUUGUGUUAGAUGCAUUAUUCUUGUUAAGCUAAUAUGAUGCUAACCCUCGUAGGAGAUGAACAUCGAAGACUUAAGGUAGGCCCUUGUUUUGUCAAAUACCGUGACCUUUCAUGCAUAUAUUGAAGACUCCCAACCAUUUCCUUCGGAUGCAGAGAUAUUUGAGGGUGUGUAGUAGACUUUUGGUGGUGGCGAUCCAUGCAGUAACUACUAUGGCGUCCAUUAAGGAUGGCAAUACACAGAUUAGGAGGCAAUGAAGAGGAAUGCAAUGAAAUAGUCUUCCUCUAUGUCCACCUUCAUGUGGAAAAGGAUGUGUGGUACAUCGCUAGUGAGUUUGUUGGGAUGGAAGUGGACCAAAAGACGCUCUGACUUAGGACAUGUCUGAGCCAGAACUAUUAUGUGUAGUGCAGGGAUCUCUAGUGAUGGUGGAAUGCAUCAUGAUGAUGUAUAUUUUUGGUAGCUAGAGCAUUAAAAUUCUUGAUCGACUAUAUAUAUUUUGUUGAGGUGGUAUAUACUAACCCCUCAGAUGAUGAUGCUGAACUCGAGGUGGUUUUGUAGUGAUAGGAUGACACCAUAGUAGAUGGGAUGAAUGUGUGAUGCUUUUGGGUAUAUUAAUCAUGCAUGGUAUGUUGGUUUGUUAUAUAUGUUUUGUCAACUUGUGUUGCUUGUUCUUCUUGGUGAACUUUUGUACCUAUAUAUUGGUAGAUGAAGUGGCAUGUGGUGUACUCAGGAUGUUUCAGGAGUCUACACCUCGUGGUAGGCAUAAUAUGUCUACCAUGAACAAGUCAACUAUUAUAAUAAAAAUUGCUAUAGAGGGUUUAAGACUAGAGAGUAGGCGGAGGAUGAUUACUCCAAGUUUUCCAUCACAUAUAAGAGCAAGCAUGGAGUAUAAAAGGGUGUAGUUUAUAUCAUGUUAAGUAGGCUGAAGAACUUUAGAAUCCUUGUCCAUUUUCUGCCAUUGUAGUUUUGUUGUUCUCUUGUGAUCGUAUGUAACAAGCAAUGAUAACACUCAUUCGGAUGAUAGAUAGUAAGCUCACCACAUUGGGCUACAAGGUAACUACAUCAAGCCUAACAUAUGCAACCAAACACAAACUUAGUGCAUGAGCACAACCACAAAUCACGAAACAUGGACAACCUAACACUGGGAACAAAGUUGAUGCCCUCAUCCAUCACAGGCUUGUUGGAAAUAUGCCCUAGAGGCAAUAAUAUAGUGGUUAUUACCAUAUUUCCUUGUUCAUGAUACUCGGUUAUUAUCCAUGAAUUGUAUUGACCAAAAACUUAAAUACAUGUGUGGACAUAUAAACAACACAGUGUCCCUAGUGAGCCUCUACUAGACUAGCUCGUAUAUCAAACAUAGUUAAGGUUUCCUGACCAUAGACACGAGUUGUCAUUUGAUAACAUGAUCACAUCAUAAGGAGAAUAAUGUGACGGACAAGACCCAAAUGUAAGCAUAGCAUUUGAUUGUAUUACUUAGUUUGUUGCUACUGCUUUCUUCGUGUCAAGUAUUUGUUCCUAAGACCAUGAGAUCAUGCAACUCCCUGACACCGGAGUAAGCUGCCCUUUGUGUAUAAAAUGUCAUUUUGUAACUGGAUGAUCAUAAAUGUGCUCUAAGGUAUUUCCGAGGGUGUCUGUUGGGUUGGCAUGAACCGAGACUGGGAUUUGUCACUCCGUUUGAUGGAGAGGUAUCUCUCAGCCCUCUCGGUAAUACGACAUCACAAGAAGCUUGAAAGCAAUGUGACUAAGGAGUUGGUCACGGGAUCUUGUAUUAUGGAACGAGUAAAGAGACUUGCCAUUAAGGAGAUUGAACUAGGGAACUGCAUACGGGAUUGGUUGAAUCCUUGGCAUCGUGGUUCGAUCGAUGGAGGUCUUCGUGAAAUAUGUAGGAACCAAUAUGGGCAUCCAGGUCCCGCUAUUGGUUAUUGACCAGAGAGGUGUCUCGUUCAUGUGUACAUGAUUCUUGAACCCGUAGGGUCCGCACGCUUAACGUUCGGUGACGCGAGAGUAGUUUUGGGAUAUUCAUGUUGGUGACCGAAUGUUUUUGGGAGUCCCAAAUGAGAUCCAGAAUGUCAUGAGGAGUUCCGGAAUGGUCCGGAAGUAAAGAUUUAUAUAUGGUAAGUCCUAUUUUGGUCACCGGAAAAGUUUCGGGCAUUACCUAUAAUGUAUCGGGUGUCGUAAGGGUUUCGAGGGUCCACUGAGUGGGUCCACCUACCCCAUGGGUCCGCAUGAGCUGUAGGGAUGGCGCCCUAGCCAACCUAAGCCGUGAGAACCAGCCCGUAUAGGUGCAUGUGGCUUGGUGGGAAGAGUCCCAAAGGCACAAGGCACCCCGAAGGUGCCUUGGAGGAGGGGGACUCCUUCCUUCCUUGUGGAGGGAGGACUCCUCCCUAGUCGUCGACCCUCCUUUGAGGAGAGGCCAACGUUGCGCCCCAAACCUACCCCUUGCCUCCUAUAUAUCGUAGAGGAGAGGGGGAGGGUUAGACACAACAACCCCAUGCCCUAGUGGCAGCCCUCUCCCUCCCGUUACCCUGUUCCUCCGCUGAUCAGUUUUUCAUUAGUGUUUGGCGAAGCCCUGCUGAAACCUACAUCACCACCACGCAUGCAUGCUGGUCGUGAUCCCAUCUACUUCUCCUCCAGUGCUUGAUGGAUCAAGAAGUAGGAUAUGUCAUCAAGCCGCACGUGUGUGCUGAACGCGGAGGUGUCGUCCGUUCGAUGGUGAAUCAUGAUUGAACCGUGAAGAGUACGAAUUCAUAAACCACUUUGUAUACCCUUCCUCUUAAAGAUCUACGAUGGUACAUAGACACACUCUCCCCUCUCAUUGAUAUGCAUCUCUGGUGAUAGAUCUUGGGUGUUUGUAGGAAAAAAUUGUUUACCAUGCAACGUCCCCCCAUAGUUCCAUCAUGAGCUUGGUCUAUGCGUAGAUGAUAUGCACAAGUAGAACACAAAGUAUUUUUGGGUGCUGAUGUUCAGAUUUCUUACCUCCUUAGUCUUAUUUUGAUUUUCAGUGGUAUUGUGGGAUGAAGCGGCUCGGACCAACCUUACUUGUCCUCACACAAGAGACCGGUUCCACCAACUGACAUGCAACUUGUUUUGCAUAAAGGUGGCUGGCGGGUGUCUGUCUCUCCCACUUUUGUUUAGUCGGAUUCGAUAGAGGCAUGUCCUUGUAGAAGGUUAAAAGGCAACUUUCAUAUUACCAUUGUGGCUUUGCGUAGGUAAGAACGGUUCUUGCUAGUUGCCCUUAGCAGCCACGAAAACUUGCAACAACAAAUUAGAGGACGUCUAACUUGUUUUUGCACGACAUGUUGUGAUGUGAUAUGGCCAAGACAUGAUAUGAUAUAUGUGAUGUAUGAGAUGAGCAUGUUUUGUAAUAGUUAUCACGAAUUGCAUGUCUAUGAGUAUGACAACCAGCAUGGGCCAUUAGGUUGUCUUUAAUUUACUUAUGCCUUUUUCUUUACUUUAUUGCUAUGAGUUAGCAAUUGUUGUAGAAGCAGUAGUUGGCGCGAGAACCACAUGACGACAUGAUGAUGGAGAUCAUGGUGUCAUGGCGGUGACAAUGCAGAUCAUGCUGGUGCUUUGGAGAUGGAGAUCAAAAUAAGAAGAUGAUCAUGUUCAUAUCAUGCCACUUAUAUGAUCUGCAUGUGAUUUUUAUCCUUUUAUGCAUCUUAUUUUGCUUAGGACGUCGAUAGCAUUAUAAGAUGAUCCCUCACUAAAUUUCAAGAUAAAAUGGUGUGCUCCCCAAGUAUGCACCAUUGGGAAAGUUCGUUGUUUCGAAGCACCUCGUGAUGAUCGGGUCUGAUAGACUCUUCGUUCACAUACAACGGGUGUAAGCCAGUUUUGCACAUGAAGAAUACUUGGGUUAAACUUGACGAGCCUAACAUGUACAGACAUGGCCUCAGAACAUAGGAGACACAAAGGUUGAACAUGAGUCAUAUAGUAGAUAUGAUGAACAUGGAGAUGUUCACCAUUGAAAUCACCUCAUCUCACAUGAUGAUUGGACUUGGGUUGGUGGGUUUGGGUCAUGUCACACUUAGAAAAACCGAGGGAUGUUGAUUUGAGUCUGAGUUCAUUAGUAAUUUUAUUUCUUGAACAAAUUAUCAUGAACAUAGUCAAACUGUCUUUUCCAAUUAUGUUUUAGAUCAAUAGCUCGCACUAUAGACCCUAGUAUUUUGAUACGUUCCUAGAGAAAACUAAGUUUAAAGAUGAUGGUAGCAAUUAUGAGGACUAGGUCCGUGUUAUGAGGAUUGUCCUCAUUGCUGCAUAGAAGGCUUAUGUCCUUGAUGCAUUGCUCGGUGCGCCACCCCCUCAAGCGUCAUGUGUGGGUGUUUUGCACAUCUGACAUGCACGUUGUGAUGACUACUUGAUAGUUUAGUGUGUCAUGCUUUACGACUUAGAAUUGAGGCUCCAAAGACGUUUUGAAUGUCAUAAAGCAUACGAGAUGUUCCAAGAGAUGAAACUGAAAUUUGAGGCUCCUGCAGUGUUGAUAGGUAUGAGACCUCCGACAAGUUCUUUGCCUGCAAGAUGGAGGAGAAUAGCUCAAUCGGUGAGCAUGUGCUCACACUAUUUGUGUGCUACAAUCUCUUGAAUCAAGUGGGAUUUAAUCUUUCAGAUAAGAUAGAGAUUGACAGAGUUCUCCAAGUCACUGCCACCAAGCUACUAGAGCUUCAUAAUGAACUAUAACAUGCAAGGGGUGGAUAAGAUGAUCCCUAAGCUACUCGCAAUGUUUUACGCCAUGAAGGUAAAAAUCAAGAAGGAGCAUCAAGUGUUGAUGGUUAGUAAAACCACUAGUUUCAAGAUGGAAAAGGGCAAGAAGGCAAACUUUGAGAAUGACAAUCCAGUUGUUGCUCGAGUGAAGAAACUCAAGGUUGGACCCAAACCCGAGAUUGAGUGCUUCUGUUGUAAGAGGGAACAGUCACUCAAGCGGAGAGCCCUAGAUACUUGGUAGAUAGGAAGGCUAGCAACGUCAACAGAAGUAUAUAUGCUAUACAUGUUAUUGAUGUGUACCUCACCAGUGCUUGUAGUAGCCGUUGGGUAUUUGAUACCAGUUCAGUUGUUGAUAUUAGUAACUCGAUACAGGAGCAGUGGAAUAAACAAGACUAGCUAAGGACAAAGUGACAAUGCACGUUGGAAGUGUGCUCAAGGUUGACGCGAUCACCGUCGGCACACUCUCUCUACCUUCGGGAGUAGUAUUAAAUCUAAAAAAAUUAUUUGGUGCCUGCGUUGAGAAUGAACAUUAUAUUGAUCUUGCUUAUCGUGAUAUGAUUAUUCAUUUAACUCAGAAAAUAAUGGUUAUUCUGUUUACAUGAAUAAUAUCUUAAUGAUCAUGCACCCAAUGUGAAUGAUUUAUUGAAUCUCGAUCGUACUAAUACACAUGUUUAUAGUAUUGAUGCCAAAAGAUGCAAAGUUAAUGAUGCUAGUACCACAUACUUGUGGCGCUGCUGCUUAGGUCAUGUUGGUAUAAACCGCAUAAAGAAACUCCAUGUUGAUGGAUGUUUGGACUCAUUCAAUUUUGAAUCGACUGAGACAUGCGAACCAUGCCUCUUAGGCAAGAUGACUAAGACCCUGUUUUCUGGUAUGAUGGAGCGGGUAAGUGACUUAUUAGAAAGAAUACAUAUUGAUGUGUGCAGUUCGAUGACUGCUGAAGCAUCGGUGGAUAUCAUUAUUAUCUUACCUUCAUAGAUAAUUUCAGUAGAUACGAGUAUUUUACUUAAUGAAACAAAAGGCUGAAAUUUUGAAAAGUCCAAGAAAUUUCAGAGUGAAGGUGAAUAUCAUAGUGACAAGAAGAUAAAUUAUCUAUGAUAUGAUCGUGGAGGUGAAUAUCUGAGUUACGAGUUUGUCAUGCAGGACAAUGUGGAAAUUGUUUCNNNNNNNNNNNNNNNNNNNNNNNNNNNNNNNNNNNNNNNNNNNNNNNNNNNNNNNNNNNNNNNNNNNNNNNNNNNNNNNNNNNNNNNNNNNNNNNNNNNNNNNNNNNNNNNNNNNNNNNNNNNNNNNNNNNNNNNNNNNNNNNNNNNNNNNAUGUGGAAAUUGUUUCACAACUCACGCCACCUAGAACACGAUAGUGUGUCCCAACAUCAUAGUCGUACUCUAUUGUAUAUGGUGCGUUCUAUCACUAUUGGAAUUGAGAAAUUUGCCAUCUGCCAUGCCUUUGCCAUCUGCUGACACAUGGCAAAGAUCUUCUUUGCCGUCAGCAGACGGCAAAGAGGUUGCUGAUGGCAAAGGUUUUAUUUGCCGUCAGCCACCUCUUUGCCGUUCGCUGACGCAUGGCAAAGGGCUCGGAGGCGGACGACAAAGAAAACCCGGACGGCAAAGGGGGNAACCCCCGACGCUAGUGAUCCUCGACCCCCGACAACACUAACCCCCGACCACCGACACAACUAACCCCCGACCGCCGACGCCACCGACACCCGACACCACCGACCAUCGCCGCCACUAAGCCGACGGGGUCAUAAUUUUGUAAAUUAUGAGUUAGGUCACAUAUUUUCCGAUUAUGUUAAUUAUAAAAACAUCAUAUUUGUGUUGAUCGGGUGAAUUUCAAUGUGCAGUUGUUCGACGACCUCCACGUGCGUUGGACGAGCUCCGCCCUUGCGUUUGUUGGUGAGCACAAAUGACUUCUCCUCCUACCCCCUUAAUUUGCUCUGUCCCGGUCUUCGUGCCGAUGAAACUUGCUCCCUAUAGGUUUCUUCAAUCAUGAGUAUGCAUGACCAGUAUGCGUCUCCCGUUCGAAAGGGCGACAUCUAUAAAUAUGCAUUUCUUUGCAUAUUUAUAACCGCCAUCCUUUCGAAUUGUCCAACAUUAUCCAUGGACAGCCCGAGUAUGUGUAGAUUGGGUUUGUUUUCCCGUAUGAUGUGCUCCGGAUCCGAUGCGGAAUUUCGUCAGUGCCUCCCCUGUUGUUCUCCGGGUACACAUCCUCUCUGCUUAUUGCCAAGACAUGUAUCAGGAGAACAACGGGGAGGUGUUGCCGAAAUUCUGCGUCGCAUCUGGAGCAGAGCAUGGCAAAACGAACCCAGUCUACACAUACUCGGGUGGGAUUAGGACCUAUCUUUACCUAUUAGCGUGUAGGUUGCAUGGACGUAAUAAAAUUGACAAACUUGAUUAGCGUAUGAAUAUAGAUGAUGAAUUAUAUAUUUAUUUCUUGUGCCCCCAUAGGUAGCUAGGCAACAUGAGUGAUCGUGCUUGGAUGUACAUUGGUCACCCUAGUCAGAAAGACAUGACCCAUGAAUGGUUAACAAAAACCAGGGGGUUUGUGAGAGCCGAAUUUGCAAAUGGCCAGCAUAAAACAUGGUUCCCUUGUCCCAACUGCGACAAAUGGAAAAAGCAGACAGAGUUUGAAAUGGGUAAACACCUGCAGAAGUGGGGUUUUACGCCUAAUUAUACGGUGUGGACUUUUCAUGGUGAGUCUGACCAACGUGCUAGAGCUGAGGUGAUUCAUCGUCGCACCGACGAGCAUGGUACCGGGAUUGAAGACAUGGUGCAAGACUUUGAUGAUGCUCGUGAUUCGAACGAUGAGAUGGAGGAAUCUCCAAAGGCCUUCUAUGAAAUGCUGGAGUCUUCAAAACGUCCUCUCCACGAGCAGACUGAGCUUUGUCAGCUGGAUGCCAUCGCACAAGUAAUGGCUCUGAAGGCUCAAUUCAACCUAGGCAGAGAAUGCUACGACGCGAUGAUGACGAUAUUUGGACGCUUUCUACCCAAAGGCCAUGUACUGCCUGCAAACCUGUACCAGUCAGAGACAAUCCUCCGUGUACUUAAGAUGCCCAAUGAGAAGAUACAUGCAUGUGAGAAUGGAUGUGCCUUAUUUAGGCUUCAGUAUGUGGCCUUGAACUAUUGCCCCAUUUGCAAUUCUUCCAGGUAUAUUGUGGUAGACAACGGCAUGGGUGAGAAGAAUCAGACCAAAAUCCCCAUUAGUGUUCUCCGAUAUCUGCCAAUCGUACCAAGACUUCAACGUCUUUUCAUGGUCGAAGAGACGGCCAGACAGAUGACAUGGCACAAAUUGGGCAAAAGAACCGAACUAGAUGCGGAUGGGAACAAGAUGCUGGUACACACUUCAGAUGGUUUUGCGUGGGGGCACUUCGAUGCAUUACAUAAGGAUAAAUUGGAAGAUCCAAGGCAACCUAGAGUUGCCAUCAGCAUGGAUGGGUUCAAUCUGUAUGGUAUGACGGCAGCACAAUAUAGUUGUUGGCCUGUAUUUGUCAUUCCACUAAAUUUGCCACCCGGAGAGAUUAUGAAAAGAAAGAACAUAUUCCUGACGUUGAUAAUUCCAGGGCCCAACUAUCUAGGGAAGAAUAUGAAUGUGUACAUGCAACCGCUUAAGGAUGAGUGGCAAGAAGCCUGGGAUAAUGGGAUCAAGACCUACGACGGGGCUACGAAAACAAAUUUCAAAAUGCAUGUGUGGUACAUGUACUCGAUGCAUGAUUAUCCGGCGUUUGCGCUAUUCGCUGGCUGGUGUGUGCAUGGAAGGUUCCCGUGCACCACAUGCAAGGCAGCUCUUCAGUUCCGUUGGCUGCAGGCUGGUCGCAAGUAUUCUUGCUUCGACAUGCAUGGAAAAUUCCUGGAUCCUGACCAUAAGUUCAGAAAAGACAAGAAGAAUUUCAUCAAAGGUAGAGUUGUCAAAAACACUGCACCAGCUGUGUUGACAGGCCAACAGACCCUUGAUCAGUUAAACGCUCUCGAGCCUGAUCCUUUGCGUCCAGGAUACUUCAAAGGGUAUAAUACGGAACACGCCUGGACUCACAAGUCAUGCUUAUGGGAUCUCCCUUACUUCAAAGACCUCCUUUGCCCACACAACAUUGACGUGAUGCACACUGAAAAGAAUAUUGCGGAGGCCAUUUUUGGUACAUUGUUCGGCAUAGAGGGGAAGUCAAAAGAUAAUCCUAAGGCUAGAAUCGACCUGGAGGCUCUAUGUGAUAGACCGUUGCAAAACUUGCGACAAUGGAAAGGAAAGCAAAGCAUAGCGAAGCCAAAGGCAUGGUUCAAUCUUGAAAGGCCAGCUAUGAGGGAAAUUCUAUUGUGGGUGAAAAUGCGGUUGAUGUUCCCCGAUGGGUAUGCUGCGAAUCUAAAGAGGGGAGCGAGUCUUGAGAAAUUGAAAAUAUUUGGCCUCAAGAGUCAUGAUUGGCACAUAUGGAUUGAGCGGGUAAUGCCGGUGAUGUUGUGUGGCUUUAUCCGUGAGGAUGAAUGGCUAGUACUGGCAGAGCUGAGCUAUUUCUUCCGUUCUCUUUGUGCGAAAGAACUAUCGCCUGGCGUGCUAGAUGAAAUGGAAGAGUUGGCGCCGGAGUUGAUCUGCAAAUUAGAAAAGAUCUUUCCACCGGGCUUCUUUAAUCCAAUGCAACAUUUGAUUUUUCCUCUCCCGACCGUGGCAAGAAUGGGGGGCCCGUUCAAAAUAGAUGGUGCUACUCAACUGAGAGGAUGCAGAAGAUGCUUCGAGCUAAGUGUAAAAAUAAACGUAGAAUUGAAGCAUCGAUGGCCGAGGCAUUCAUUACUGAGGAGGCGGCAAACUUCGUGACAGCACACUACGAAGCCGAAAAUCAUCAUUUGCAUAACCCGAAGCCUCGGUACAGUGAUGGCGCUCGAGAAAAAGUUCGAUCCAACCUCAGCCUAUUCAAAGGUAAGCUCGCACCAUCCGGUGCUUCGAAAGGGAAAUCGUUGGAUGUCGAAGAAUAGCGGACCAUUUCAUUGUAUAUCUUCACCAACCUAACAGAAGUGCGGCCGUACAUCGAGUAAGUUCUCGGUAAUUUAUUGUUCCGCAACUUCUAAUUGCUUUGAACUACUCUUAUUCCCGGAUAUUUGAUAUAUUCGAUACAUCGCCGAAUUCUCGGAUGGAGCGGUCAUCGAAAAGGAUUCCGUCGAAGAGUAUGAGCUUCUCGCAAAGCAUGGAGGUGACUAUCCCGGUUUCAUAUCUUGGUUCAACCAAAGGGUAAUUUAUUACCAUUAAGGGCCCAUUUGAUUUAUUGGUCUAAUUUGCGGCUAAUGCAUCCAUUCUUUCGUAUUAAACUUGUAGGCUGAUGCAGAGUCUAUGGACGCCGAGUUGAGACAAGUCGCUAAUGGUUUUGACUAUAAGGUCCGUUCAUUUGACAAAUACAACAUCAACGGGUAUCACUUUCGUACCUUUGGCAAAGAGCUAUCUAUGCCCGACCUAAAGACUACAAAUUGUUCUGUCUGUGCUAUCGGCGAAGGAGACACCGAGUAUUAUGGAAGAGUUGAAGCAAUUUAUGAACUUCUAUUCUAUGGUGAAAACCCACCGACCGUCGUAGUCUUCAAAUGUUAUUGGUUUGAGCCGAAGGAGACUAGAAGGACUCAUGAACAUAUAGGAUUAGUCGAAAUCAACCAAAACACCCACUUAGAUGUUCCCGAUGUCUAUAUUACGGCUCAACAGGCGACACAAGUUUUCUAUCUACCGUGGGCCUGCCAAACUGAUCCAAAUCUCAAAGGUUGGGAUGUCGUUUAUGAAGUGCCACCACAUUUUAGACCACCUACCCUCAAUGAAGAGGAUUACGAACCUUACAUCAACCCAGAUACAUAUGAAGGAGAAUUCUUCCAAGAAACACGUAUGUCCAAGAAACGUUUCAAGAACCGCUCNNNNNNNNNNNNNNNNNNNNNNNNNNNNNNNNNNNNNNNNNNNNNNNNNNNNNNNNNNNNNNNNNNNNNNNNNNNNNNNNNNNNNNNNNNNNNNNNNNNNNNNNNNNNNNNNNNNNNNNNNNNNNNNNNNNNNNNNNNNNNNNNNNNNNNNNNNNNNNNNNNNNUCACCCCAGAACAUUGAAGUAGACAGCGACAGUGAAUCCGUUUUAACCCUUGAGCCCGAACAGGAAGAGCUGGAAGAAGAAGAGGUUACUGCUGCGGAUGACCUGUCACUUCUUGACCGAUUACAUAAUGGUGGCCUUCCACAUGUUCUUCGUAAUACUGAUGAUGAUGAUGCAUUUAUUGAUGAUAGUGAUGAUCAUGAUGCAUUUAUACACCCCAAAGAAUAUAUAGAAGAGGACGAUUGUUAUUAGUUCAUGUUAGGUAUNNNNNNNNNNNNNNNNNNNNNNNNNNNNNNNNNNNNNNNNNNNNNNNNNNNNNNNNNNNNNNNNNNNNNNNNNNNNNNNNNNNNNNNNNNNNNNNNNNNNNNNNNNNNNNNNNNNNNNNNNNNNNNNNNNNNNNNNNNNNNNNNNNNCAUGUUAGGUAUUCAACUAUUAUACUAUAUAUAAAUUUUGAGUUCAUGUUAGGUAUUCAAUCUUUAUUAGUCAUGUUGGUAUUUAUGACGAUGAUACACUUAAAUUAUAUACAUUUUAUUACUCCUGUUUGUAUUUAUGUUGUACUAAUUUCAUUUACUCUUUGUCAUGACAGGUGUUGAAAGAUGGUGGGAAAGGGUCGAAAGUACUCCGCGGCUGCUUCUUCGUCGGCGGGUGAUUGGAUGGGUACUUCCAUUCCUGCCUCGCCUCUUCGGAGAGUGUUGCUCUCUACUUUGCAAGGAGCACCCCCCGUGAGAGGAGGUCGACCCCCCGCGAAGCCGAGAGGCACUAAAGGUACACGUUGUAUUCAUGUUGGUAUUUAUGUUGUACUCGUGUUGUAUGCAUAUUGGUAUUUAUAUACAUUUUAUUACUCAUGUUGGUAUUUAUGUUGUACUAAAGGUACACGUGGCCGCGGGAGAGGUAGGGCUACACGGUCUCCGCCACCACCCCAAGCUGAUUCAGCUGAGCACAAGACUUCUAGGGUGGAUUCGUCUGAGGUGGAGGCUACACGGUCUCCGGUUCACGAGCCUCGGGUCGACGAGCCUUAGGUCGACGAGCCUUCGAUCCACGAGACUCCUGUCCCAGAGGCUUCCUUCCAGGCGACUCCGGAGCAAAGCAGGGAUGAGGGUACGUCCCAAGAGACCCAGUGGGAUACCUGGCCUGAGGCAAGUGGCCAUGCUGGUAGCGAUGAGGAGCUGGGUGAGGGGGCUACCGUCUACCAGCGUGGUAGUUCGGGGCUCCCGCUCGUGCCAACGACCCCCGAGAAGAGGUGGUCGAUUAGGCCAAAUGGGGACAAGUAAGUUAAUUUACUCUUAUUUAACCUUUUGCCUUCGCAUUUUCUCAAAUAUCUAAUGUUUUGGCUUUAAUUUGUCAUACUGUAGGGGUUGGAUUUUUGCCAAGGGUGUCCGCAAGCCCAACAGCGUCCUUGGUGUUCUUUGCCGUCAAAACUUCCCAGGGUUUGUUAUGUUGCCCGGUCGGGAGCGAGAGGUAGGAAUGACCUGGGAGCACUACUUGGGUGCCCCGGCCCCGCCGGAGGUGGAGAUCGACGGUGUUUUGUGUGACACGAGGGCGGACAUGGUGAUCCGAAAGUUCUGGGUAAUUUCUCUUUCACACAAUUAUAAAUCAACCAUAGCUAUUUAUUGUACAAAUCGGUGUUGUCUCGUUUGCAGACCUAUUACAGGUGUGAGGAGGGAUACGAGGAGGACGCGGCAAAGGUUAUCGAAACCGAAUGUCGCCGCCUACUUCAAAACUUUCGGCACGAGGCUCGGGUGCAGGCUGUUCGAGACUACUAUGCCACGCGGCGUAUUAGGCUUGACAAGGCGAAGUGCCGUGAUGCUAAGAUGGAGAAGGAGCAUUACAUGAAGGUAAUUACAUAUUAUUAAGGCUUUGUAGUUAGUUUCCUUGAUUUGGUUCUUACGCGCUCAAAUUUCUCUUUAUUAACUUAGGUGCCCCCGAGAUGGUGUGUGGAUAAGAUGGAUUGUUGGGAGGCCUUGGUGGAUCAGUGGUGCUUCGAAACGUGGGAGGCCAGCCACAACAAUGCCAAGGAGAGGCGUGGCAAAAUGGUUGGCAUGCCACACCAUCAAGGGGGCGUCAACUUAAUCCAAUUUGGCGAGAACUGGGUAUGUGGUUUGCUUCAUGCCUCAUGCAAUUCAUUCUUAAUGCUAUCUUGAGCCCUUUACCAAUACAAUUUUCCUCUCUCUCUUUUAGGCGCGUCACAAUAAGACGGAGGCGCCACAGAUGUACGACCUGUAUGCGAUGGCCCAUACUGCCUCGUACAAGAAGGUCAAGGCAUUCUCUGAGUCUGACCUCGAGCAUCCAGAAAACUUCACCAACAUCUCCUCCCACGACAAGCUCGUGAAGUACAGAGAUCACGGGAAGGCGAGGAAAGGGGAGGACUUUAACCAGAGCGAGGGGCCUAUUGAUCCAGAGCUGGUGAUGAUAGCUGGCAACGGGAGGCCCCAUGGCUCGAUCGCCAUUGGAGACGGCCUUAUACGUUGUCCUAGCUCUCUCCGGCAGAUAAAGGCACGCCAAACGAGCUCUUGUCCAGAGAUAACACGUCGUGCACGGCCAGUCGAGCUCGCCAUCGAGGUUAGUUUAAUGGACUCAAAUAUCUUUCCGCAUUAUGUUGUGCGUUGGAACCAAUAUGCUAACAAUGAGUUCUGUUGUAGGCUGCUAUUCAGAAAGAGAGAGAGGCAAUGCAGGCGGCUAUGGCGGAGAAGGAUAAGGAAAUUAGGGAGCUGGAGGAGAGGACGACUGCAUUGGUGGAGGCGGAGAGGGCACGGAAUGAUGCGUCUACCAGGGCCAUAUACAAGCUCUUCGUGGUAAGUUUCUUCUUCAUGUUAUUUCAAAUCUUGAAUUUGAAUGUCCGUUUCAUUAAUAAAUAAAAAGUUUGACUUGUCGAAACAAAAUGUACAGUCUAUAUGCGAGAAGAACGGCCAAGUCCCUCCGCCGAUGCCAGUCGUUAACGUGGCGGGGACGGUGAGUUUCAUUUCAGUGGAGUGAUCUUAAGAGUGUCCUCAUGCUAACUACACAUUGCAAACGAUGUUUGGUGCAGAAUAUGUCCCGAAACGCAUCGCACGACCCUUCUACAAUCGAGCCUUCUCCAGGGCACCCUUCUCCAGGUGAAACAAGCCAGAGCCACCGUGCUUUACCCUAACUUAGGUAUGUUAUUUCUAGUGUUUUAAUAAAAGAUAGCUAGAUGACAUAAUUAGCUUAGUUAGCUCCAAAAAGACCUAUUUAAUAAAAUAUAGCUAGAUGACAUAGUUAGCUUAGUUAGCUUAGUUACUUUAGUUAGCUUAGUUAGCUUAGUUAGCUUAGUUAGCUUAGUUAGCUUAAUUAGCUUAGUUAGCUUAGUUAGCUCCUCCUUCUCCUNNNNNNNNNNNNNNNNNNNNNNNNNNNNNNNNNNNNNNNNNNNNNNNNNNNNNNNNNNNNNNNNNNNNNNNNNNNNNNNNNNNNNNNNNNNNNNNNNNNNUAAAGUAGUACUUACUAAAAAUAAACUAGUUUAACUAUAGUUCUAUUAUUUUUCUAACUAAUUAUAUUAAACACUUUCUCUUCUUAUUUUUUCCUAUUUCCUCUAUUCUAAAUAUGAACAUAUUCAUAAAUGACCUUGAUCAUGCACAAUUUUCCUAUACAUACACAAUAUGAACAUAUACAUAAAUUGACAAAGAAAAUAUUAUGAACAAAAAAAUCAUAAAAUUCUAUGAACAAAAUUACAACAGAAAAAAAUCAUAAAAAUUCUAUGAACAGAAACAAAUCAUAAAAAUUUGACAUAUUCGAUCUUUGCAUAUAUAUGAACAUACAAAUAUGCAUAUUCAACAAUAAUAUCACCAAAAAAAUUCUUUUAACAGAAAAAAAAUCUUUGCUCACGGCGACGGUGUCGGGGAUGGCGACGGGCGACGGCGAGGUGCGGUGCGGGGCGGGGCGGCGCAGCGACGGUCAACGGUGAGGUGCGGCGCGGGCCGGGGCGGGGCGACGACGGGCAGGGGCCGGCGGCGUCGCGGGGCAUGGGGCGCGGGGNAGUUGAGAGGGUUACGACAAAAACUGGAUGCACUUCGUGUGCAAAAUGGACAUCCUCUUUCGAAGUAUCAGGUUUUCAUACAGAAACUCGUGUGUUACAAAGGGAUUUCAUUUUUUUGAACUUAUUGAACUCCAUAGUUUUUCUGUGUUCAAAAUGCACCAUUCAAAGCCACAUCAUCAAUUUACAACCCUUUCUGACUUCAUUUGUUAUUUUUCAUGCAUUUACUGAUUAUUUUGAGCUAUAAGACCAUGAAAUUGAAAAGCAUUUGAAAUGAACUAUGAAAAGGUUCCAAGUUGGCAUGGUAUCAUCAUUUCACCCACAUAGCAUGUGCGAGAANNNNNNNNNNNNNNNNNNNNNNNNNNNNNNNNNNNNNNNNNNNNNNNNNNNNNNNNNNNNNNNNNNNNNNNNNNNNNNNNNNNNNNNNNNNNNNNNNNNNNNNNNNNNNNNNNNNNNNNNNNNNNNNNNNNNNNNNNNNNNNNNNNNNNNNNNNNNNNNNNNNNNNNNNNNNNNNNNNNNNNNNNNNNNNNNNNNNNNNNNNNNNNAGGGUUACGGCAAAAAUUGGAUGCACUUCGUGUACAAAGCGGACAAUAUCUUUCGAAGUAUCAGGGUUUCAUACGGAAACUCGUCUAUUACAAAGGGAUUUCAUUUUUUUGAACUUAUUUGAACUCCAUAGCUUUUCUGUGUUCAAAAUGCACCAUUCAAAGCCACAUCUUCAAUUUACAACCCUUUUGACUUCAUUUGUUAUUUUUCAUGCAUUUACUAAUUAUUUUGAGCUAUAAGACCAUGAAAUUGGAAAGCAUUUGAAAUGAACUCUGAAAAGGUUCCAAGUNNNNAUGGUAUCAUCAUUUCACCAAAAUAGCAUGUGCGAGAANNNNNNNNNNNNNNNNNNNNNNNNNNNNNNNNNNNNNNNNNNNNNNNNNNNNNNNNNNNNNNNNNNNNNNNNNNNNNNNNNNNNNNNNNNNNNNNNNNNNNNNNNNNNNNNNNNNNNNNNNNNNNNNNNNNNNNNNNNNNNNNNNNNNNNNNNNNNNNNNNNNNNNNNNNNNNNNNNNNNNNNNNNNNNNNNNNNNNNNCGGCAAAAACUGGAUGGACUUGAUGUACAAAACGGACAAUCUCUUUCAAAGUAUGAGGGUUUCUUACGGAAACUCGUCUGUUACAAAGAGAUUUCAUUUUUUUCAACUUACUUGAACUCCAUAGUUUUUAUGUAUUCAAAAUGCACCAUUCAAAUCCACAUCAUCAAUUUACAACCCUUUCUGACUUCAUUUGUUAUUUUUCAUGCAUUUACUUAUUAUUUUGAGCUAUAAGACCAUGAAAUUGAAAAGCAUUUGAAAUGGACUCUGAAAAGGUUCCAAGUUGGCAUGGUAUCAUCAUUUCACCCACAUAGUAUGUGUGAGAAAGUUGAGAGGGNNNNNNNNNNNNNNNNNNNNNNNNNNNNNNNNNNNNNNNNNNNNNNNNNNNNNNNNNNNNNNNNNNNNNNNNNNNNNNNNNNNNNNNNNNNNNNNNNNNNAAGACAAUGAAGAAGAAGGAGGUGAAGAACAACCGGCAUCAGAUGAGCCCGCUGAUAGUCUUGGUCAGGUCAUUUCUGAUGCAAAGAGAGAAUGCGAUACAGAAAAGGAGAAGAUGAAGUUGGAGGCCAUGCUAAAGGAUCAUAAAAAGUUGUUGUACCCAAAUUGCAAAUAUGGCAGCACAAAGCUCGGUACCACACUGGAAUUGUUGAAAUGGAAGGCAGAAACUGGUUUAUCUGACAAGGGAUUUGAGAAGUUACUGAAAAUAUUGAAGCCGAAGCUUCCAAAGGAUAACGAAUUGCCCGAGACUACGUAUGAAGCAAAGAAGGCUAUUUGCCCUCUUGGAUUAGAUGUGCAUAACAUACAUGCAUGCAUUACUGACUGCAUCCUGUAUCACGGUGAGAAGUACGAGAAUAUGGAAAAAUGCCCGGUAUGCACUGCAAGUCGGUACAAGAUUAGGCAGGAUGACCCUUUUGAUGUUGAGGGAGAUGACGAGCCCCCCAGGAAGAAGGUUCCUGCUAAGUUUAUGUGGUAUGCUCCUANNNNNNNNNNNNNNNNNNNNNNNNNNNNNNNNNNNNNNNNNNNNNNNNNNNNNNNNNNNNNNNNNNNNNNNNNNNNNNNNNNNNNNNNNNNNNNNNNNNNNNNNNNNNNNNNNNNNNNNNNNNNNNNNNNNNNNNNNNNNNNNNNNNNNNAUGUGGUAUGCUCCUAUAAUACCACGGUGGAAACGUCUGUUCAGAAACAAUGAGCAUGCCAAGUUGAUGCGAUCGCACAAAGACGAGCGUAAGAAAGACGGGAAAAAGUUGAGACACCUUGCAGAUGGGUCGCAGUGGAGGAAAAUCGAGAGGGAGUGGCCGGACUUUGCAGAUGACCCAUGAAACUUAUGGCUUGGUCUAAGUAUAGACGACAUGAAUCCUUUUGGGGAGCAGAGCUGCAGUCACAGCACCUGGCCCGUGACUCUAUAUAUCUACAACCUUCCUCCUUGGUUGUGCAUGAAGCGGAAGUUCAUUAUGAUGCCAGUGCUCAUCCAAGGACCGAAGCAACCCGGCAACGACAUUGAUGUGUACCUAAGGCCAUUAGUUGAUGAACUUUUGCAGUUGUGAGCCAAACCAGGUGCACGUGUGUGGGAUGAGCACANNNNNNNNNNNNNNNNNNNNNNNNNNNNNNNNNNNNNNNNNNNNNNNNNNNNNNNNNNNNNNNNNNNNNNNNNNNNNNNNNNNNNNNNNNNNNNNNNNNNUACCGGGAAUGACGAAUGGGUUCCGGGAGUUCACCGGGGGGGCAACCCACCCCGGGGAAGCCCAUAGGCCUUGGGGGUGACACACCAGCCCUUAGUGGGCUGGUGGGACAGCCCAAAAGGGUCUAUGCGCCAAGGAGAAGAAAAUCAAGAGAGAAAAAAAGGAGGAGGUGGGAAGGAAGGGGGACUCCCUCCCACCAAACCUAGUCCAACUCGGUUUGGGGGGGAGAGUCCUCCCCCUUGGACUCGGCCGACCUCCUUGGGGCUCCUUGAGCCCCAAGGCAAGGUCCCCUCCCUCCCACCUAUAUAUACGGAGGUUUUAGGGCUGAUUUGAGACGACUUUUCCACGGCAGCCCGACCNNNNNNNNNNNNNNNNNNNNNNNNNNNNNNNNNNNNNNNNNNNNNNNNNNNNNNNNNNNNNNNNNNNNNNNNNNNNNNNNNNNNNNNNNNNNNNNNNNNNNNNNNNNNNNNNNNNNNNNNNNNNNNNNNNNNNNNNNNNNNNNNNNNNNNNNNNNNNNNNNNNNNNNNNNNNNNNNNNNNNNNNNNNNNNNNNNNNNNNNNNNNNNNNNNNNNNNNNNNNNNNNNNNNNNNNNNNNNNNNNNNNNNNNNNNNNNNNNNNNNNNNNNNNNNNNNNNNNNNNNNNNNNNNNNNNNNNNNNNNNNNNNNNNNNNNNNNNNNNNNNNNNNNNNNNNNNNNNNNNNNNNNNNNNNNNNNNNNNNNNNNNNNNNNNNNNNNNNNNNNNNNNNNNNNNNNNNNNNNNNNNNNNNNNNNNNNNNNNNNNNNNNNNNNNNNNNNNNNNNNNNNNNNNNNNNNNNNNNNNNNNNNNNNNNNNNNNNNNNNNNNNNNNNNNNNNNNNNNNNNNNNNNNNNNNNNNNNNNNNNNNNNNNNNNNNUUCGUGCGCGUAGGAAUUUUUUUGUUUCCCAUGCGACGUUCCCCAACAGUGGCAUCAUGAGCUAGGUUCAUGCGUAGAUGUCUUCUUGAGUAGAACACAAAAGUUUUUGUGGGCGGUGAUGUGCGUUUUGCUGCCCUCCUUAGUCUUUUCUUGAUUCCGCGGUAUUGUUGGAUUGAAGCGGCUUGGACCGNNNNNNNNNNNNNNNNNNNNNNNNNNNNNNNNNNNNNNNNNNNNNNNNNNNNNNNNNNNNNNNNNNNNNNNNNNNNNNNNNNNNNNNNNNNNNNNNNNNNUUGUAUCACAUACAAUGUUUGCUCAAGGAAACCGUCGAGGAAACAAUGUUUUGACAUCCUACGUGCAAUAUUUCAUAAAUAAUGCAGCAACUACUAACAUAAUUCUAACAGACUUUUAGCAUCGCUACGAGUGAGAAAGUCUCAUCAUAGUCAACUGUUUGAUCUUGUCGGAAACAUCUUUGCGACAAGUCGAGCUUUUCUUAAUAGUGACUUAUCACCAUCGUCGUCUGUCUUCCUUUUAAAGAUCCAUCUUUACUCAAUAGUCCUAUGACCAUCAAGUAGUUCUUCCAAAGUCUACACUUUGUUUUCAUACAUGGAUUCUCUCUCGGAUUUCAUGGCCUCCAGCCAUUUGUCGGAAUCCGGGCCCACCAUUGCUUUCUUCAUAACUCGUAGGUUCACUGUUGCUCAACAACAUGACCUCCAAGACAGGGUUACCGUACCACUCUGCAAUAGUACGCGACCUUGUCAACCUACGAGGCUGGUAGUAACUUGAUCUGAUGCUCGAUGAUCACCAUCAUCAGCUUUCACUUCAAUUGAUGUAGGCGCUACAAGAACAACUUCCUGCGCCCUGCUACACACUGGUUCAAGUGAUGGUUCAAUAACCUCAUCAAGUUCUACCACCCUCCCACUCAAUUCUUUCGAGAGAAACCUUUCCUCGAGAAAGGAUCCGUUUCUAGAAUCAAACACUUUGCUUCCGGAUCUGAGAUAGGAGAUGUACCCAACUGUUUUGGAUAUCCUAUGAAGAUGCAUUUAUCCGCUUUGGGUUCGAGCUUAUCGGACUGAAACUUUUUCACAUAAGUUUUGAAGCCCCAAACUUUCAAGAAACGACAGUUCAGAUUUCUCUAAACCUCAGUCUAUACUGUGUCAUCUCAACGGAAAUACGCGGUGCCCUAUUUAAAGUGAAUGCGGUUGUCUCUAAUGCAUAACCCAUAAACGAUAGUGGUAAUUCGAUAAGAGACAUCAUAGCAUGCACCAUACCAAAUAGUGCGUGGCUAUGACGUUCAGACACAUCAUCACACUAUGAUGUUCCAGGUGGCAUAAACUGCGAAACAAUUUCCACAUUGUCUUAACUGCGUACCAAAACUCGUAACUCAGAUAUUCAUUUCUAUGAUCAUAUCGUAGACAGUUUAUCCUCUUGUUACGACGAACUUCACUCUGAAACAGAAUUGAACUUUUCAAUAUUUCAGACUUGUGAUUCAUUAAGUAAAUACUCUAGUAUCUACUCAAAUCGUCAUUGAAGUAAGAACAUAAUGAUAUCCACUGCGUGCCUCAGCACCCAUUGGACUGUAUACAUCAAAAUGUAUCACUUCCAACAAGUUACUAUCUUGUUUCAUCUCAAUAAAAACAAGGCCUUGCUCAUGUGGUAUGAUUUGCAUGUCACCAGUGAUUCAAAAUCAAGUGAUUAUAAAGAUCCAUCAGCAUGGAGCCUCUUCAUGCAAUUUAUACCAACAUGACUCAAGCGGCAGUGCCACAAGUAAGUGGUACUAUCAUCAUUACCUCGUAUCUUUUGGCACCAAUAUCAUGAACAUGUGUAACACUACGAUCGAGAUUCAAUAAACCAUUGAAGGUGAUUAUUCAAGCAAAUAGAGUAACCAUUAUUCUCUUUAAAUGAAUAAUCGUAUUGCAAUAAACAUGAUCCAAUCAUGUUCAUGCUUAACGCAAGCACCAAAUAACAAUUAUUUAGGUUUAACACCAAUCCCGAUGGUAGAGGGAGCGUGCAACAUUUUGAUCAUAUCAAUCUUGGAAACACUUCCAACACGUAUCGUCACCUCUCCUUUAGCUAGUCUCCAUUUAUGUCGUAGCUAUCAUUUCGUGUUACUAAUCACUUAGUAACCGAACCGGUAUCCAAUACCCUCAUGCUACUAGGAGUACUAGUAAAGUACACAUCAUGUAUAUCAAAUAUACUUCUUUCGACUUUUGCCAGCCUACUUAUCUACCAAGUAUCAAGAGUUGCUCCGCCUCAGUGACUGUUCCCCUCAUUACAGAAGCACUUAGUCUCAGGUUUGGGUUUAAUCUUGGGUCUCUUCAUUAGUGCAGCAACUGUUUUGACGUUUCAUGAAGUAUCCCUUCUAGCCCUUGCCUUUCUCGAAACUUAGUGGUUUUACUAACCAUCAACUAUUGAUGCUCCUUUUUGAUUUCUACUUUCGCAGUGUCAAACAUCGCGAAUCACUCAAAGAUCAUUGUAUCUAUCCUUGAUAUGUUAUAGUUCAUCACGAAGCUCUCACAGCUUGGUGGCAGUGACUUUGGAGAACCAUCACUAUCUCAUCUGGAAGAUUAACUCCCACUUGAUUCAAGCGAUUGUCGUACUCAGAUAAUCUUAGCAAACGCUCAACGAUUGAGCUUUUCUCCUUUACUUUGUGGACAAAGAAUCUUGUUGGAGGUCUCGUACCUCUUAACAAGGGCACAAGCAUGAAAUCACAAUUUCAUCUCUUUAGAACAUCACUUAUGUUCCGUGACGUUUCAAAACGUUUUUGGUGCCUUGCUUCUAAGCCAUUAAGUAUUUUGCACUGAACUAUCGUGUAGUCAUCAGAAACGUGUAUGUCGAAUGUUCAUAGCAUCUACAGACGAUGCUCGAGGUGCAGCACACCGAGUGGUGCAUUAAGGACAUAAGCCUUCUGCGCAGCAACGUGGACAAUCCUCGGUUUUACAGACUUAGUCUGCAAAGUUUGCUACUAUCAACUUUCAACUAAAUUUUCUCUAGGAACAUAUAAAAAACAGUAGAGCUAUAGCGCAAGCUGCAUCGUAAUUCGCAAAGACCAUUAGACUAUCUUCAUGACAAUUAGUUCAAUUAAUCAUAUUACUUAAGAACUCCCACUCAAAAAGUACAUCUCUCUAGUCAUUUGAGUGGUACAUGAUCCAAAUCCACUAUCUCAAGUCCGAUCAUCACGUGAGUCGAGAAUAGUUUCAGUGGUAAGCAUCUCUAUGCUAAUCAUAUCAACUAUACGAUUCAUGCUCGACCUUUCGGUCUCAUGUGUUCCGAGGCCAUGUCUGCACAUGCUAGGCUCGUCAAGCUUAACCCGAGUGUUCCGCGUGUGCAACUGUUUUGCACCCGUUGUAUGUGAACGUUGAGUCUAUCACACCCGAUCAUCACGUGGUGUCUCGAAACGACGAACUGUAGCAACGGUGCACAGUCGGGGAGAACACAAUUUCGUCUCGAAAUUUUAGUGAGCGAUCACCUCAUAAAGCUACCAUCGUUCUAAGCAAAAUAAGGUGCAUAAAAGGAUUAACAUCACAUGCAAUUCAUAAGUGACAUGAUAUGGCCAUCAUCACGUGCUUCUUGAUCUCCAUCACCAAAGCACCGGCACGAUCUUCUUGUCACCGGCGCCACACCAUGAUCUCCAUCAACGUGUCGCCAUCGGGGUUGUCGUGCUACUCAUGCUAUUACUACUAAAGCUACGUCCUAGCAAAAUAGUAAACGCAUCUGCAAGCACAAACGUUAGUUUAAAGACAACCCUAUGGCUCCUGCCGGUUGCCGUACCAUCGACAUGCAAGUCGAUAUUAUCUAUUACAACAUGAUCAUCUCAUACAUCCAAUAUAUCACAUCACAUCGUUGGCCAUAUCACAUCACAAGCAUACCGUGCAAAAACAAGUUAGACGUCCUCUAAUUUUGUUAUUGCAUGUUUUACGUCGUGACCAUGGGUAUAUAGUAGGAUCGCAUCUAGCUCAUGAUGCCACUGUUGGGGAACGCCGCAUGGGAAACAAAAAAUUUCCUACGCGCACGAAGACCUAUCAUGGUGAUGUCCAUCUACGAGAGGGGAUAUUCGAUCUACGUAUCCUUGUAGAUCGCACAGCAGAAGCGUUAGUGAACGCAGUUGAUGUAGUGGAACGUCCUCACGUCCCUCGAUCCGCCCCGCGAACCGUCCCGCGAUCAGUCCCACGAUCUAGUGCCGAACGGACGGCACCUCCGCGUUCAGCACACGUACAGCUCGACGAUGAUCUCGGCCUUCUUGAUCCACCAAGAGAGACGGAGAGGUAGAUGAGUUCUCCGGCAACGUGACGGCGCUCCGGAGGUUGGUGAUCAUCCUGUCUCGGCAGGGCUCCGCCCGAGCUCCGCAGAAACGCGAUCUAGAGGUAAAACCGUGGAGAUAUGUGGUCGGGCUGCCGUGGCAAAGUUGUCUCAAAUCAGCCCUAAAACCUCCGUAUAUAUAGGGGGGAGAGGGGGAGCCUUGCCUUGGGGUCCAAGGACCCCCAAGGGGUUCGGCCGAGCCAAGGGGGGAGUCCUCCCCUUCCAAACCGAAUCCAACUAGGUUUGGAAGGAGGAGUCCUUCCCCUUUUUCCCACCUGCUCUUUUUUUUUCUAUUUGAUUUUCUUCCUAUGGCGCAUAGGGCCUUCUUGGGCUGUCCCACCAGCCCACUAAGGGCUGGUGCGCCACCCCCAAGGCCUAUGGGCUUCCCCGGGGUGGGUUGCCCCCCCNNNNNNNNNNNNNNNNNNNNNNNNNNNNNNNNNNNNNNNNNNNNNNNNNNNNNNNNNNNNNNNNNNNNNNNNNNNNNNNNNNNNNNNNNNNNNNNNNNNNAACUUAGAGAUCAUAGUUUCUUAUGCCAUGCUUACUUAGCUAGGAGCUUAUAAUGGCUUGUCUUGGUUGCCCACAUGAAUGUUGAGAUGACUAUGACGUAGUAUGAUAGGAUGGUAUCCUCCUUUGAAUGUUUCAAGUGGCUUGACUUGGCGCAUGUUCAUGCAUGUAGUUGAAACAAAAUCAACAUAUCCUCUAUGAUGUUCAUGUUCAUGGUGAUUUAUGUCCUACUCAUGCUUGCACUCAAUGUUAGUUAAUCUCAAUGCAUUUUGAUGACCGUUGUCAAUCUCUAGUUGGUCGCUUCCCAGUCUUUUGCUAGCCUUCACUUGUACUAAGCAGGACUACUGCUUGUGCAUCCACUUCCAUAAACCCAAAGUUGUGCCAUAUGAGUCCACCAUACCUACCUAUGUGCGGUAUCUACCUGCCGUUCCAAGUAAAUUUGCAUGUGCCAUUCUCUAAACCUUCAAGAAAUAAUCUAUUUUGCAUGCCCGAACCGCUCAUGUGGUGACAGGGGGCUAUUGGUAUCUUCCAUGCUAGCCGUGUUAUCCUUGAUAUGUGUUUAUUCACUAUCAUUCACGAGAAAGGGGCCGGUAAUUGGAAUUCCCAGUUCCAUGCUCAAAUCGAAAAGAUAUUUGCAAACAAAACUCCCCCAUGAUUGUUGUUGGUAUGGAUCGUACCCGAGGAUUCGGCUAGCCGUGGAGUGUGAUUGAUUGGUGGUGGGGGAGUCAAAAUUUUACUUUUCUAUUUGGGAACCGCCUAUAGCAUGUGUAGCGUGGAAGAUAUUGAGAACUCUUAGUCAUUGCGUUGACAAUGAAAGCAUGCCACCAAAAAUUAUUAUCUCUGUUUUCAAAGCUUGAGCUCUGGCACCUCUGCAAAUCAAUGCUUCCCUCUGCGAAGGGCAUGUCUAUUUAUGUUCCUGUUGAGUCAUCCUCCUCUUACAAAAGCAUCAAUUAGAGAGCACCUCUGUCAUUUUUAUGCUUUUCUUUUAACUGUGUUGAGUAUGACUAUGACUGGAUCUUCAUGGCCAUGAAUUACAAUGUUUAGUCAGCCCUUGGUCUUUGAAGGUGCUCUGCAUUUAUGUUUUGCGGUCUCAGAAAGAGGUAGCGAGAUACCAUAUAUUCAUACUGCUUCAUGUUGUUUUGAUUGAAGUGUUGAUAUUUGAGGCUUAUUAUUAUUUGCUCGCUAGUUGAUUAUGCCAUUGGUAUGAGUUUACCGUGAGACCUAGAUGUCAUUUCCUUGUGGUUUGCUUGUGAUGUUGCUGAAACUCUGGAUAUGAGUUACACAUAGUUGCAACAACAAGAUCAAACAAAGUUCGUCAAAGUUUUUCUUUUGUCUCUCUCAGUUUGUCAACUGAGUUGCUUGAGGACAAGAAAGGCUUUAAGCUUGGGGGAGUUGAUACGUCUCCNNNNNNNNNNNNNNNNNNNNNNNNNNNNNNNNNNNNNNNNNNNNNNNNNNNNNNNNNNNNNNNNNNNNNNNNNNNNNNNNNNNNNNNNNNNNNNNNNNNNCGUGGCAGCGGGGUCCUAAUGGAAACUACGGCAUAUUAAGGUUCUCCUUUUAAUAAAGAACCGGACCAACGCAUUAACACGCGGUGAAUACAUGAACUCCUCAUACUAUGGUCAUCUCCGGGAGUGGUUCUGGCUAAUGUCACUCCGGGGUUGCCGGGUCAUAACACAUAGUAGGUGACUACAACUUACAAGAUAGGAUCUAAAACACACAUAUAUUGGCGACAACAUAAUAGGUUCAGAUCUGAAAUCAUGGCACUCGGGCCCCUAGUGACAAGCAUUAAGCAUAGCCAAGUAGUAGCAACAUCAAUCUAGAACAUAGUGGAUACUAGGGAUCAAUCCCCGUCAAGAACUAACUCGAUUACAUGAUAGAUCUCAUCCAACUCAUCACAGUCCAACAAGCCUAUGAUGAGAUUACUCACGAACGAUGAAGAGCACCAUGGAAUUGUGGAUGGAGGAAGGUUGAUGAUGACGAUGGCGACGAUUUCCCCUCUCCGGAGCCCGAAACGGACUCCAGAUCUGCCCUCCAGAUGAAGAACAGGAUGUGGCGGCGCCUCCGUAUCGGAAAACGCGAUGAAACUUUCUCUCUGAUUUUUUUCCAGGCGAAACGUAAGAUAUAGAGCUGAGUUUGGGGGGGGGUGGUGCCACGUGGGCCCCACAAGCCUGCACGACGCGACCAUAGGGGGUGGCCACGGCCUGUGGGCUUGUGGCCCACUGGCACGCCCCCUCAGGUGGAUCUUUGCGCAGGUAUUUUUCUUUUAUUCCAGAAAAAAAUCUCCGUAAAAUUUCAGGACAUUCCGAGAACUUUUAUUUCUGCACAAAAACAACACCAUGGCAAUUCUGCUGAAAACAGCGUCAGUCCGAGUUAGUUCCAUGCAAAUCAUGCAAAUUCGAGUCCAAAACAAGGGCAAAAGAGUUCGGAAAAGUAGAUACGUUGGAGACGUAUCAACUCNNNNNNNNNNNNNNNNNNNNNNNNNNNNNNNNNNNNNNNNNNNNNNNNNNNNNNNNNNNNNNNNNNNNNNNNNNNNNNNNNNNNNNNNNNNNNNNNNNNNAUUGUAUGUGAUACAAUCAAGAGGUUUUGUCGAUCCUAAAGAUACUAGCAAGUAUGCAAGCUCCAGUGAUCCUUCAAUGGACUGGUGCAAGCAUCUCACAGUUGGAAUAUACACUUUCAUGAGAUGAUAAAAGAUUUUGGGUUUGUACAAGGUUUAUGAGAAACUUGUAUUUCCAAAGAAGUGAGUGGGAGCACUAUAGAAUUUCUGAUAAGUAUAUGUGGUUGACAUAUUAUGGAUCAGAAGUAAUGUAGAAUUUCUGUAAAAGCAUACAAGGUUGUUUGAAAGGAGUUUUUCAAAGGAAUACCUGGAUUGCGCUACUUGAACGUUGAGCAUGAAAGAUCUAUGGAGAUAGAUCGAAAGCGCUUAAUAGAAAGUUUUAACAAGAUGCAUACCUUGACAAGUUUUUUUUAAGGAGUUCAAAAUAUAUCAGCAAAGAAGGAGUUCUUGGUUGUGUUGUAAGGUGUGAAUUUGAGUAAGACUCAAAACCCGAUCCCGGCAGAAUAAAGAGAAUAGACGAAGGUCGUCUUCUAUGCCUUGGCCGUAGAAUCUGAAGUAUGCCAUGCUGUGUACCGCACCUGAUGUGUGCCUUGACUCAAAGUCUGUUGAGAGGUACAGAGAGUGAUCCAUGAUUGAAUCACUAGCAGCGGUCAAAAUUUAUCCUUAGUAACUGAUGGACUAAGGAAAUUUUCUCGAUUAUGGAGGUGGUUAAAGAGUUCGUCGUAAAGGGUUAUGUCGAUGCAAGCAACAUCUAUAAGAUGACAUAAAGAUUUGUAAAGAACACACGGAUCUGAAAGUUUCAGAACCGUUGACUAAAACCUUUCUCACGAACAAAACGUGAUCAGACCCCAUAACNNNNNNNNNNNNNNNNNNNNNNNNNNNNNNNNNNNNNNNNNNNNNNNNNNNNNNNNNNNNNNNNNNNNNNNNNNNNNNNNNNNNNNNNNNNNNNNNNNNNCUAUGAUCUCUAAGUUGUCAUUGCAAACAUGUUUCUCUCACAACAAAGCUGAAUCAGGCAUGAUGAGCUAGUCAUAUUAACAAAAACAAAAUAGAUCGAGUUCAUACCAGCUUUUCCAGGCUUAGUCACUUCAUCAUAUAUCGUCAUUAUUGCCUUUCACUUGCACGACCGAACGAUGUAAUAAUAAGCGUGCUCGUGCAUUGGACUAAAGCUGGAAUCUGUAGGCAAAGACAAAGGAGAAGACAAAGUAAUAUGGCUCUUUGAAAGCUAAACAUGUAUGCAUGCAAGAGCCACUCAACAGUGUAACCAAUAUCUUCUACCUUGACCCAAAGAAAAAGAAAACUAUCUACACGGGAAAGCUCCCAACAAGCAAAAGAAGAAAAAAGAAAAUCUUUUUGGUUUUUCUCAACUAGACAGACACACGAAAAGAAAACGAGAAAAAGAAAAUAAACUAGCAUGGAUGAUACAGUGGCAAAGUGUGAACACGGGCUAACAAAGUGAAAGCAUAAGCAAGAAUGUAAAGUCGGUGAGACACACGUACUCCUCCAAGCUUGGGCUUUUGGCCUAACUNNNNNNNNNNNNNNNNNNNNNNNNNNNNNNNNNNNNNNNNNNNNNNNNNNNNNNNNNNNNNNNNNNNNNNNNNNNNNNNNNNNNNNNNNNNNNNNNNNNNCCUCGGGGGUAGGGACACUCGCGGAGGCCGAAAGUGUCCUCGCGACCUCCCAUAUAUACCCCCACCGUGACACUCUCACGUAAUAACGAGCCAAGGCUGUAUACGCCUAGGGGCCCCCGAGGACACGGAGGGGUCCAUCCCACGCCUAGUGGCAGCCCUAUGCUCCGUGCUGGGGAGAAGACGAAGGCAAUCAACACAGUCCACCAAUGACUAUGCCCGCAGCUGGCAAGGAAACCCAUGUAGUCCACCAAUGACUAUGCCAGCGAGAGUGUGAUACGUCCAUUUUGCAUUAUGUUUUCAUGUGGAUAUUUAUCGCUUCUUGGGCUAUUAUUUCACUUCACGGUACAAUACUUAUGCCUUUUAUCUAUUAUUUUGCAAGGUUUACAUGAAGAGGGAGAAUGCCGGUAACUGGAACUCUGGCCUGAAAGUGGAGCAAAGUUGAGAUACCUAUUCUGCGCAACUCCAAACGCCGUAAAAAUCAACGAGGAUUUUUCUCCGGAUUUAUAAAAAAUAUUGGGCCGAAGAAAUGCCACAGGGGCGCGUGCAGGUGGCCACAAGCCUGCACGGUGCGGCCACCCCCCAGGCCGCGCCAUGAGGGCUUGUGGGCAGCCUGCUGGCCCACUAGCCCCCCUCUUUUGCUAUAUGAAGGGUUUCGUUCAGGAAAAAAAUCAGAGAUGAGCUUUUUUGUGGAUUCGCCGCCGCCACGAGGCGGAACUUGAGCAGAACCAAUCUAGAGCUUCGAUAGGACGAUCCUGCCGGGGAAACUUCCCUCCCGAAGGGGGAAAUCAUCGCCAUCGUCAUCACCAACACUCCUCUCAUCAGAGGGGACUCAUCACCAUCAACAUCUUCAUCAGCAGCAUCUCAUCUCCAAACCCUAGUUCAUCAGUUGUAACCAAUCUCCGUCUCGCGACUCCAAUUGGUACUUGUAAGGUUGCUAGUAGUGUUGAUUACUCUUUGUAGUUGAUGCUAGUUGGAUUACUUGGUGGAAGAGUUUAUGUUCAGAUCCUUGAUGAUACUCAUUACCUCUUUGGUCAUGAAUAUGAUUAUGCUUUGUGAGUACUUACUCUAGUUCCUGAGGACAUGGUAUAAGUCAUGCUAAUAGUAGUCAUGUGAAUUUGGUAUUCGUUCGAUAUUUUGAUGUGUUAUAUGUUGUUUUUCCUCUAGUGGCGUUAUGUGAACGUCGACUACAUAACAAUUCACCAUUAUUUGGGCCUAGAGGAAGGCAUUGGGAAGUAGUAAGUAGAUGAUGAGUUGCUAGAGUGACAGAAGCUUAAAACCUAGUUUAUGCGUUGCUUCGUAAGGGGUUGAUUUGGAUCCAUUAGUUUAAUGGUAUGGUUAGACUUCGUCUUAAUUCUUCUUUCGUAGUUGCGGAUGCUUGCGAGAGGGCUUAAUCGUAAGUGGGAUGCUUGUCCAACUAAGGGCAGUACCCAAGCGCUGGUCCACCCACAUAUCAAGCUAUCAAAGUAACGAACGUGAAUCAUAUGAACAUGAUGAAACUAGCAUGACAAAAAUUCCCGUGUGUCCUCGGGAGCGUUUUUCCUCCUAUAAGAUUUUGUCCAGGCUUGUCCCUUGCUACGAAAGGGAUUGGGCCACUUUGCUGCACCGUUGCUACUUUUGUUACUUGUUGCUCGCUACGAAUCAUCCCACCACACAAUCACUUGUUACCAACAAUUUCAGUGCUUGCAGAUAUUUCCUUGUUGAAAACCACUUGUCAGAUCCUUCAGCUCCUCGUUGGGUUCGACACUCUUACUUAUCUAAAGGACUACGAUUUAUCCCCUAUACUCGUCGGUCAUCAAGACUCUUUUCUAGUGCCAUUGCCGGGGAGUGAAGCGCCUUUGGUAAGUGGAACUUGGUAAGGAAACAUUCAUAUAGUGUGCUGAAAUUUAUUGUCACUUUUCACUAUGGAUACUAAUCCUUUGAGGGGCUUGUUCGGGGUAUAUUCACCUCGAGACGAAGCACAAAUAGUUUCUCCUCAACCUGCUGCACCCACUGAAAAUAUUUGCUUUGAAUUUCCUUUGGGUAUGCUUGAGAAACUGCUGGCUAAUCCUUUUACAAGAGAUGGAACAUCACAUCCAGACUUGCAUCUAAUAUAUGUAGAUGAAGUUUGUGGUUUAUUUAAGCUUGCAGGUUUGCCCGAGGAUGAGGUCAAGAAGAAGGUCUUUCCUUUAUCUUUGAAGGACAAGGCGUUGACAUGGUAUAGGCUAUGUGAUAAUACUAGAUCAUGGGACUACAAUCGGUUGAAAUUGGAAUUUCAUCAAAAGUUUUAUCCCAUGCAUUUAGUACAUCAUGAUUGGAAUUAUAUUUAUAAUUUUUGGCCUCGUGACAGAGCAAGCAUCGCUCAAGCUUGGGGGAGGCUUAAAUCAAUGUUAUAUUCAUGCGCCAAUCAUGAGCUCUCGAGAGAAAUUAUCAUUUAGAACUUGUAUGCCCGGCUUUCUCAUGAUGAUCGCACCAUGCUUGACACUUCUUGUACGGGUUCUUUUACGAAAAGAGAUAUUGACUUCAAAUGGAAUCUAUUGGAGAGAAUUAAACGCAACUCUAAAGAUUGGGAGCUUUAAGAAGGUAAGGAGUCAGGUAUGAAUUUCACGUUUGAUUGCGCUAAAUCCUUUGUUGAGACAAAUACCUUUAGUGAUUUUAGCGCUAAGUAUGGACUUGACUCUGAGAUAGUAGCUUCAUUGUGUGAAUCCUUUGCUGCUCAUAUUGAUCUCCCCAAAGAGAAGUGGUUUAAAUAUCACCCUCCUUUAGAAGUCAAUGUAGUUAAACCCACUCCAGUUGAAGAGAAAGUCAUUGCCUAUAAUGAUCCUAUUGUUCCCAGUGCUUACAUUGAGAAACCACCUUUCCCUGUUAGGAUAAAGGAUCAUUCUAAAGCUUCAACUGUGAUACGUAGAGGCUACAUUAGAACACCUACACCCCCUGAGCAAAUUAGAGUUGAACCUAGAAUUGCUAUUAUCAAAGAUCUUCUGUUCGAAGAUGUUGAGGGACAUAAUAUUCACUUCUAUGAAGAUGCUGCUAGAAUUGCUAAACCUCACGCUAGAGACAAACAUAGGCCUGUUGUUGGCAUGCCUGUUGUUUCUGUUAAGAUAGGAGAUCAUUGUUAUUAUGGCUUAUGUGACGUGGGUGCUAGUGUUAGUGCAAUACCUCAAUCCUUAUACGAUGAAAUCAAAGAUGAUAUUGCACCUAUUGAGAUAGAGCCCAUUGAUGUCACUAUUCAGCUUGCCAAUAGAGAUAUUAUCUGCCCUGUGGGAAUUGUUAGGGAUGUCGAAGUCUUGUGUGGUAAAACGAAGUAUCCUGCUGAUUUCCUCGUUCUUGCUACCGCACAAGAUAGCUUUUGUCCCAUCAUAUUUGGUAGACCUUUUCUCAAUACUGUCAAUGCUCAUAUUUAUUGUGAGAAGCAAACUAUCACUGUUGGCUUUGAAGGUGUGUCACAUGAGUUCAAUUUCUCUAAGUUUGGUAGACAACCUCAUGAAAAGGAGUUACCUAGUAGGGAUGAAACUAUUGCCUUAGCUUCUAUUGCCGUGCCUCCUACUGAUCCCUUAGAGCAAUACUUGCUUGACCAUGAAAAUGAUAUGCAUAUGGAUGAAAGGGAUGAGAUAGAUAGAGUUGUCUUAGAACAAUAUCCUAUCCUUAAGAAUAAUCUGCCUGUUGAACUGCUUGGGGAUCCACCCCCACCAAAGGGUGAUCCUAUGUUCGAGCUUAAAUAGUUGCAUGAUACUCUUAAGUAUGCUUAUCUUGAUGAAAAGGAGGUAUAUCUUGUUAUUAUUAGUGCUAGCCUCUCAGAGCAUGAAGAAAAUAAGUUACUAAAAACUUUGAGGAAGCACCGUGCUUCUAUUGGAUAUACUCUUGAUGAUCUUAAGGGCAUUAGUCCUACUCUAUAUCAACACAAGAUUAAAAUUGAUCCUGAUUUCAAACCAGUUGCUGAUCAUCAAAGGAGAUUAAAUCCUAAGAUGAAAGAAGUAGUGAGAAAAGAAAUACUAAAGCUCCUGGAAGCAGGUAUCAUCUAUCUUGUUGCUCAUAGUGAUUGGGUGAGUCCGGUGCAUUGCGUCCCUAAGAAGGGAGUCAUUACCGUUUUCCCUAAUGAUAAGGAUGAAUUGAUCCCACAGAGGAUUAUUACUGGCUAUAGGAUGGUGAUCUAUUUUAGGAAAUUUAAUAAAGCCAUUAGGAAAGAUCAUUACCCUUUGCCUUUGAUUGACCAAAUGCUAGAAAGACUGUCUAAACACACACACUUCUGCUUUCUAGACGGUUAUUCUGGUUUCUCCCAAAUACCAGUUGCACAAUCUGAUCAGGAGAAAACCACUUUCACCUGCCCUUUCGGUAACUUUGCUUACAGACGUAUGCCUUUUGGCUUAUGUAAUGCACCCGCCACCUUUCAAAGAUGUAUGAUGGCUAUAUUCUCUUACUUUUGUGAAAAGAUUGUCGAGGUUUUCAUGGAUGACUUCUCCGUUUAUGGGUCUUCCUUUGAUGAUUGCCUCAGCAACCUUGAUCGAGUCUUGCAGAGAUGUAAAGACACCAAUCUUGUCUUGAAUUGGGAGAAGUGCCACUUUAUGGUUAAUGAAGGCAUCGUCUUAGGACAUAAAAUUUCUGAAAGAGGUAUUGAAGUCGAUAAGGCUAAGGUUUAUGCAAUCGAGAAAAUGCCAUACCCACAGACAUCAAAGGUAUAAGAAGUUUCCUUGGUCAUGCUGGUUUCUAUAGAAGGUUCAUUAAAUACUUUUCUUAGAUUUCUAGGCCUCUUACAAAUCUCUUGCAAAAGGAUAUUCCUUUUUUCUUUGACGAUGAAUGUGAGGAAGCCUUCGAAAUACUUAAGAGGGCUUUGAUAACUACACCUAUUGUUCAACCACCUGAUUGGAACUUACCUUUUGAAAUCAUGUGUGAUGCUAGUGAUUAUGCUGUUGGCGCUGUUCUAGGGCAAAGAGUCGAUAAGAAGUUGAAUGUUAUUCACUAUGAUAGUAAUACUCUAGACAGUGCCCAAAGAAACUAUGCCACUACAGAGAAGGAAUUUUUAGCAGUCGUGUUUGCAUGUGAAAAGUUCAGGUCUUACAUAGUUGAUUCCAAAGUCAUUAUUCACACUGAUCACGCUGCUAUUAAGUACCUGAUGGAGAAGAAAGAUGCUAAACCUAGACUUAUCAAAUGCGUUCUCUUGCUACAAGAAUUUGACUUGCACGUUGUUGACAGAAAAGGUGCUGAUAACCCAGUAGCAGAUAACUUGUCUAGGUUGGAGAACGUCCUUGAUGACCCACAACCUAUUGAUGAUAGCUUUCCCAAUGAGCAAUUGAAUGUCAUCAAUGCUUCACGUAGUGCACCGUGGUAUACUGAUUAUGCAAACUAUAUCGUUGCCAAAUACAUACCACCUAGUUUCAUGUACCAGCAAAAGAAGAAAUUCUUCUUUGACUUGAGUCAUUACUUUUGGGAUGAUCCUCACCUUUAUAAGGAAGGAGUAGAUGGUGUUAUUAGACGUUCUGUACCUGAACAUGAACAGGGACAGAUCCUACAGAAAUGUCACUCCGAGCCCUACGGAGGACACCAUGCGGGAGAUAGAACUGCACACAAGGUAUUGCAAUCAGGUUUCUAUUGGCCCACUCUCUUCAAGGAUGCCCUUAAGUUUGUCUUAUCUUGUGACGAAUGUUAAAGAAUAGGUAAUAUUAGCAAACGUCAGGAAAUUCCUAUGAACUAUUCACCUGUCAUUGAACCAUUUGAUGUUUGGGGCUUUGAUUAUAUGGGACCUUUUCCAAAAUCCAAUGGGUAUACUCAUAUCCUAGUUGCGGUUGAUUACGUCACAAAGUGGGUAGAAGUUAUCCCCACUAGUAGUGCUGAUCACAACACCUCUAUCAGGAUGCUUCAGGAAGUUAUCUUCCCUAGAUUUGGAGUCCCUAGAUAUCUAAUGACCGACGGUGGUUCACAUUUCAUUCAUGGUGCUUUUCAUAAAACGCUUGCUAAGUACGAUGUCAACCAUAGAAUUGCGUCUCCCUAUCACCCUGAGUCUAGUGGUCAAGUAGAGCUAAGUAAUAGAGAGAUUAAACUGAUUCUGCAAAAGACUGUCAAUAGGUCUAGAAAGAAUUGGUCUUAGAAGCUCAAUGAUGCACUGUGGGCUUAUAGAGCUGCCUAUAAGAAUCCCAUGGGCAUGUCUCCUUACAAAAUGGUCUAUGGUAAAGCAUGUCAUUUACCUCUUGAGCUAGAGCAUAAAGCUUAUUGGGCAAUCAAAGAGCUCAACUUUGAUUUCAAGCUUACCGGUGAGAAGAGGUUAUUUGAUAUUCGCUCGCUUGAUGAGUGGAGAACUCAGGCAUAUGAGAAUGCCAAGCUGUUCAAAGAGAAGGUUAAGAGGUGGCAUGAUAAGAGGAUACAAAAGCGUGAGUUCAAUGUUGGUGAUUAUGUCUUGCUAUAUAACUAUCGUUUAAGAUUCUUUGGAGGCAAGCUUCUCUCUAAAUGGGAAGGUCCCUAUAUUGUUGAGGAAGUAUAUCGUUUCGGUGCUAUCAAGAUCAACAACAUAGAAGGUAAUUGUCUCAGAGUGGUAAAUGGGCAGAGAAUCAGCAUUAUAUCUCAGGUACUCCCAUAAAUGUUGAAAGCAAUAUUAUCAAUACGACAACUCUGGAAGAAUACCUAAGGGACAUUUAUUAGCCUGUUUUAGACUCCGAAAACGAAGAGGUAUGUGAUUCUGUAAGAAAUCAGAGUCCAAAACUUUUCCAGUAGGAAAUUUUCUCCGUUUUGAAAUAUUUAAAAAAAUACAAAAAUUGGAAGUAGUCCGGAAAGUGCGCGAGGAGGCGACAAGCCUGCAUGGCGCGGGCCCACCCCAUGGCCGCGCCGUGACGGCUUGUGGCUACCUCGUGCGUCUCUCGGACUCCGCUUUCGUGCGGGGUACUCCUUCUGGUCUGAAAAAAUCAUUAUAUAUACUCCCGUUUGGUCUGACCCCUCCAUCAUGCAGAUUUCCUCUGUUUUUCGUUUCGAGCCAGUUUUCUGCCGCAGAUUUAGGGCAAGAUGUCUUCUCAAGAUUCAGAGGGGGAGCGCUUUGUGGCAGAUUACCUCGGUAAUCCCAAGGUCUAUGGGGACUUGGAUCCCUAUGGCUGGACCACUGAUGAGGAAGAAGAUUAUGAUCUGAAGGGGAAGAAACAAACAAGUUUCGAUGAAGAGGAGGCUCCUCUAUCUCAACUUGGAGACACGCAUGUGGAGUUCAAGAAGUCGAGCCUCCCUGACUCAAGGAAGAAGCCUAAGACCUUGUUUAUCCCUUCUCGUUUCUUGCAGGAGAAUAAGAAGGAAUUAUGCCAAAGGGUGUUGAAGCUUGAAGAGGAAAAUGAUGAUCUGAGGGAGCGGAAUUUUAUGCUCAAGUGGAAAUUAAACAAGGUGAAGACCUCUGAAACAACUCCUCCACCUUCACCACCAAAGGAAGACAACUGAGCAUUGGUAUGGGUAAUCCCCUUGGCUUUUGCCAAGCUUGGGGGAGUUGCCCCGGUAUCGUAUCACCAUCACAUCUUUUGCCUUUACCUUUGUUUUAGUUUGUUCCUUUUCAGUUUUCUUUUCCUCUAGUAGAUUAAAAGUCUUUGUGUUUUAGUCUUGAGUUUUGCUUUGUGCCACCCCCGAUGUAUUCGAGGUCGUGAGCCAUAUAAUAAAGAGUGUCUUAGUUGAAGGGCUUAGCAUCUUGCCAUGAUCAAAAGAGUGAGAAUACAACAAAAACAUGAAAGAUCAUGUAAUGAUCUUAUGGGAAGUGAUGCCUUCACAUAUACAAAGAAUGAGGAUUGAAACUUGUUGAGGAUAGGCAAACGUAGACCUUGGUCAUGGUUGCAAUUAAUAGGAAGUGAUAAAGAAGGAGAGGUUCACAUAUAAAUAUAUCAUCUCUGAAACCAUCUUUGAUUGUGAACACUCACUAAACUAUUGCAUGCCUAGAAGUAGAUGUUGGACAAGGAAGACAACAUAAUGAAUUGUGUUUUCUUGGCUCCGAACAAUGUUAUAUGAUUAGAGAUCCCUUAGCAUGUGACGAUUGUUCCACCUCACAUUAACCAAACCUCCUGCACUAAGUUGAGAUACUACUUGUGCAUCCAUAAACCUUCAACCCAGUUUUGCCAAGUGAGUCCACCAUACCUACCUAUGGAUUGAAUAAGAUACCUCAAGUAAGUUUUCAUCGGUGCAAGCAAUAAAAAUUGCUCCCUAAUAUCUAUGAUCUAUUAGUGUGCUGAAAAUAAGCUUUGUACGAACCUGUGAUGAUGAAGACAUAAAAGCGACAGACUGCAUAAUAAAGUUCUUUAUCACAGGAGGCAAUAUAAAGUGACGUUCCUCCGCACUAAGAGGACACGCAUCCAAACCUCAAAAGCGCAUGACAACCUCUGCUUCCCUCUGUGAAGGGCCUAUCUUGUACCUUUACUUUUUGCCCUUGAAAGAGUCAUGGUGAUCUUCACCAAUUCCCUAUUUCGCCUUUGUCUUGGCUAACGUCAUAUGCUUGGGAAAUAUGUAUCUUCAUAUGUCAACUUGGAGGUAAGUAUUCAUGAAUUAUUAUUGUUGACAUUACCCUUGAGGUAAGUAGUUGGGAGGCAAAACUGUAAGCCCCUAUCUUUCUCUGUGUCCAGCUGAAACUUUGAUCUCAUGAGUACCAUGUGAGUUGUAGCAAUUGUAGAUAACGAAAGAAUGAUUGAGUAUGUGGAUUUGCUUUACAAGCUCUUAUUUGACUCUUCCUGAUGUUGUGAUAAAUUGCAAUUGCUUCAAUGACUAAAGGCUAUUGGUUGUUACUUCUCGGUAAGGUUCUUGUUCCAUGCUUUACUUUGUGAAGGAAUUAUCACUUUAGCAUGAGAGAUUAUAUGUUGGUAUUGUUGUUCUUAUCUUGAUCAUGAUGCAUGCAUGUUCGUAUCUUGUUUUGUCGACACCUCUCUCACUAAACAUGAGGACAAGCGAGGUCUAAGCUUGAGGGAGUUGAUACGUCCAUUUUUCAUCACGUUUUCAUGUGGAUAUUUUGUUGGGGAACGUCGCAUGGGAAACAAAAAAUUUCCUACGCGCACGAAGACCUAUCAUGGUGAUGUCCAUCUACGAGAGGGGAUGAGUGAUCUACGUACCCUUGUAGACCGUACAGCAGAAGCGUUAGUGAACGCGGUUGAUGUAGUGGAACGUCCUCACGUCCCUCGAUCCGCCCCGCGAACAAUCCCGCGAUCAGUCCCACGAUCUAGUACCGAACGGACGGCACCUCCGCGUUCAGCACACGUACAACUCGACGAUGAUCUCGGCCUUCUUGAUCCAGCAAGAGAGACGGAGAGGUAGAAGAGUUCUCCGGCAGCGUGACGGCGCUCCGGAGGUUGGUGAUGAUCUUGUCUCAGCAGGGCUCUGCCCGAGCUCCGCAGAAACGCGAUCUAGAGGAAAAACUAUGGAGGUAUGUGGUCGGGCAGCCGUGAGAAAGUCGUCUCAAAUCAGCCCUAAUACCUCCGUAUAUAUAGGUGGGAGGGGGAGGGAAGAGGCAGCCUCAAACCCUCAAGGGUUGGCCGAAAUUGGAGGUGGAGGAGUCCUACUCCAAUCCUACUUGGAGUAGGAUUCCACCUUCCCACUUGGAAACUCUUUCCACCUUGUGUUUUUUCCUUCUCAAACCUUAUGGGCCUUAGUGGGAACUUAUUCCAGCCCACUAGGGGCUGGUUUAUCUCUUCCCAUAGCCCAUGAGACCCCUUGGGGCGUGACACCCCUCCCGAUGGUCCCCGGCACCCCUCCCGGCACUCCCGGUACACUACCGAUGAGCCCGAAACUUUUCCGGUAAUGCACGAAAACCUUCCGGUAACCAAAUGAGGUCAUCCUAUAUAUCAAUCUUCGUUUCCGGACCAUUCCGGAAACCCUCGUGACGUCCGUGAUCUCAUCCGGGACUCCGAACAACAUUCGGUAACCAACCAUAUAACUCAAAUACGCAUAAAACAACGUCGAACCUUAAGUGUGCAGACCCUGCGGGUUCGAGAACUAUGUAGACAUGACCCGAGAGACUCCUCGGUCAAUAUCCAAUAGCGGGACCUGGAUGCCCAUAUUGGAUCCUACAUAUUCUACGAAGAUCUUAUCGUUUGAACCUCAGUAUCAAGGAUUCGUAUAAUCCCGUAUGUCAUUCCCUUUGUCCUUGGGUAUGUUACUUGCCCGAGAUUCGAUCGUCAGUAUCCGUAUACCUAUUUCAAUCUCGUUUACCGGCGAGUCUCUUUACUCAUUCUUUAAUACAAGAUCCCGCAACUUACACUAAGUUACAUUGCUUGCAAGGCUUGUGUGUGAUGUUGUAUUACCGAGUGGGCCCCGAGAUACCUCUCCGUCACACGGAGUGACAAAUCCCAGUCUUGAUCCAUACUAACUCAACUAACACCUUUGGAGAUACCUGUAGAGCACCUUUAUAGUCACCCAGUUAUGUUGCGACGUUUGAUACACACAAAGCAUUCCUCCGGUGUCAGUGAGUUAUAUGAUCUCAUGGUCAUAGGAAUAAAUACUUGACACGCAGAAAACAGUAGCAACAAAAUGACACGAUCAACAUGCUACGUCUAUUAGUUUGGGUCUAGUCCAUCACGUGAUUCUCCUAAUGACGUGAUCCAGUUAUCAAGCAACAACACCUUGUUCAUAAUCAGAAGACACUGACUAUCAUCGAUCAACUGGCUAGCCAACUAGAGGCAUGCUAGGGACGGUGUUUUGUCUAUGUAUCCAGACAUGUAAAUGAGUCUUCAUUCAAUACAAUUAUAGCAUGGAUAAUAAACGAUUAUCUGGAUACAGGAAUUAUAAUAAUAACUAUAUUUAUUAUUGCCUCUAGGGCACAAUUCCAACAGUCUCCCACUUGCACUAGAGUCAAUAAUCUAGCCCUCACAUCACCAUGUGAAUUACAUUGUAAUAAAUCUAACACCCAUACAGUUCUGGUGUCGAUCAUGUUUUGGCCGUGGAAGAGGUUUAGUCAGCGGGUCUGCUACAUUCAGAUCCGUGUGCACUUUGCAUAUAUUUACGUCCUCUUCCUCGACGUAGUCGCGGAUGAGGUUGAAGCGUCGUUUGAUGUGUCUGGUCUUCUUGUGAAACCGUGGUCCCUUUGCUAAGGCAAUGGCACCCGUGUUGUCACAGAACAAGUUUAUUGGAUUCAGUGCGCUUGGCACCACUCCAAGAUCCGUCAUGAACUGCUUCAUCCAGACACCCUCCUUAGCCGCCUCCGAGGCAGCCAUGUACUCCGCUUUACAUGUAGAAUCUGCUAUGACGCUUUGCUUGGAACUGCACCAGCUUACUGCUCCCCCAUUAAGAAUAAAUACGUAUCCGGUUUGCGACUUAGAGUCGUCCGGAUCUGUGUCAAAGCUUGCAUCGACGUAACCUUUUAUGGCGAGCUCUUCGUCACUUCCAUAUACGAGAAACAUCUCCUUAGUCCUUUUCAGGUACUUCAGGAUAUUCUUGACCGCUGUCCAGUGAUCCACUCCUGGAUUACUCUGGAACCUACCUGCCAUACUUAUGGCCAGGCUAACAUCCGGUCUAGUGCACAGCAUCGCAUACAUGAUAGAACCUAUGGCUGAAGCAUAGGGGAUGGAGCGCAUAUGCUCUCUAUCUUCAUCAGUUGCUGGGCACUGAGUCUUACUCAAUCUCGUACCUUGUAAAACUGGCAGGAACCCUUUCUUGGACUGUUCCAUUUUGAACCUCUUCAAAACUUUAUCAAGGUAUGUGCUUUGUGAAAGUCCUAUCAGGCGUUUUGAUCUAUCCCUAUAGAUCUUAAUGCCUAGAAUGUAAGCAGCUUCUCCUAGGUCCUUCAUAGAGAAAAUUUUAUUCAAGUAACCUUUUAUGCUCUCCAAAAGCUCUACGUUGUUUCCAAUCAGUAAUAUGUCAUCCACAUAUAAUAUUAGAAACGCCACAGAGCUCCCACUCACUUUCUUGUAAAUACAAGAUUCUCCAACCACUUGUAUAAACCCAAAUGCUUUGAUCACCUCAUCAAAGCGUUUGUUCCAACUCCGAGAUGCUUGCACCAGUCCAUAAAUGGAUCGCUAGAGCUUGCACACCUUGUUAGCAUUCUUAGGAUCGACAAAACCUUCGGGUUGUAUCAUAUACAACUCUUCCUUAAGGAAACCGUUAAGGAACGCCGUUUUGACAUCCAUCUGCCAGAUUUCAUAAUCGAAAAAUGCAACUAUUGCUAACAUGAUUCUGACGGACUUAAGCAUCGCUACGGGUGAGAAAGUCGCAUCGUAGUCAACUCCUGGAACUUGUGAAAAAAA